AUUGGGUCGAGAGUGUUUGUGUUUCAUCUCACCUCGAUUUGUUUCUUUCAGCUAUGUGUCGUCGUUGAGGUCGACCGUCGUUACGGGAGCGUGCCCAGUUGUCGCAGGAUCGUGCGGGACCUUCCAAGAUGCCUGAGCAUGUGGAGCCGAGUGCCCGACAGGAGCAGAGUGCCCGACCAGAGGCGAGUGCACCCCGGAAUUUAAGUGCACAGAUAGCCGCCCUGACAGAGGUGACGAGGCGGCAGGGGGAGUUGUUGGAGAGGAUGUGCGAGAGGUUAGCUUCGCCCCAGAGUUCAGCACCGAGGGCACCAGAGUCGUCUGUUCCACCUUCGACUACCCCAGUGACAGCACCAGCAGCAGCAGUUCCUCCGCCAGCAGCCGUUCCAGUAGCGCCAGUUGCACCUGCUGGGGGGCCGGUACAGUUGACAGAGGCCGAGCAGGAGCGGUGGACAGAGAGGUUGGCCCGUUUUCGCCGUUUUGAUCCAUCGAUUUUCGAUGGCAGUUGCACUGAGCCCUGGGUUGUUGAGGGAUGGGUCAGUGAGAUGGAGAAGUUAUUUGAGGAUCUGUUCAUUCCUGAGGGGGAGCAGGGGUCUUUGGGAGUCCAUUGCUUGGCAGGUGAUGCCCAGGCCUGGUGGAAGAGAGUGAGGAGAGAGUAGGGACUGGUGGCGUUGCAGCUGAGAUGGCAUGAGUUCUGUGGAAUGCUGUUUGGGAUGUUCUUUCCCAACAGUGUGAAACAAAAACUCGAGGAGGAUUUGAAGAGGAUCCAGCAGGGGGAUCGUCCAGUAUAGGAGUAUAUUCGGGAGUUUACUCGACUCCUGAAUUGUGUGCCAUUUGUGACCAGAGACGAGGCACACAGGGUCUAUCUAUUUUAGCAGAGACUGAGACCCGACAUCUUCAGGUUGGCGCGGACGCAGAGGUCGAGGACCCUGAAUGCGUCCAUUGAGCAGGCCUUGUGGGUAGAGAGAGGUGAGGUGUCACUACAGGAGAGGACUCAGGCCGCGGGGCAGAGUCAGGAUAGGAAGCGCCCCUUUUCAGAUGAUGCUGGACCGUCGAGUAGCAGGCGUCCGCCGAGGUCUCCACGAUCACGCUCUCAGGGUCGUGGGUCUUCGGGGCGUCAGCGUUCCAGGGGAUCCCGUCAGCAGGGACGGACUCAGAGGACACCGCAGUGUGUGAUCUGCGGGGGACCACACUGGCCCCGACAGUGCGAGCAGAGAGAGGGCAGGUGUUAUGGUUGUGAUCAGCCUGGACAUAUGAGGUCAGCUUGUCCCCGUGCAGCAUCACCAGCGCCAUCCACUGCAUCAGCGCAGUCGGCAUCUCAGCCUUCUUUUGGAGCAACUCUGAGUUUCCGUCACGAGGAUAGAUCGUCUGUGCCCCAUCAGGGCGAGCGGCGACAGCAAGCUCCGAGUGGCAGAGUCUACGCAGCUCAGGUGGAGGACUCUACAACAGCCGACCGAGUGGUGGCAGGUAUCAUUUUGAUUUCCGGCAUUCGUACUCAUACUCUUUUUGAUACCGGUGCCUCGCAUUCUUUUGUUAGCCGAGCAUUUGCAUUGUUACAUGGUCUAGAGUUAGGGGCAUUGUCACAGGCACGAGAGGUGCAGAUUCCCAACCAUGUGUUACAGGUUACAGAGUGUUGUUGGUCGUGUCCGGUGCAGUUCGAUUCUUGGAUCAUGCCCGCAGACCUGUUGGUGUUAGGGCAGUUGCAGGACUUCGACGUCGUACUCGGUAUGGAUUGGCUGGUGCGGUACUAUGCUACGAUCGAUUGUGGAACGAGAACGGUGACGUUCCGCGAGCCAGGCUAGGAGGAGUUCACUUUUAGAGGUUGCACGAGCACGCUGUUUGCCACCUGGAUAUCUUCGGCGAGGGUUCGACAGAUGCUGAGUAGUGGAUGUAUCGCUUUCUAGCGACAGUUGUGGAGGUACCUACGGUGGCGCCGAAACUCGAGGAUAUCCCAGUAGUCCGCGAGUUUCCGGAUGUGUUUCCCCCUGAGUUGACUUUGUUGCCGUCGGAGAGGGAGAUUGAGUUUGUGAUUGAUGUAGUUCCUGUAACUGCACCAAUCUCGAAGGUACCUUAUCAGAUGGCACCGGCAGAGCUGAGAGAGCUAAAGGCGCAGCUUCAGGAUUUGAUGGAUAGACGGUUUGUGAGACCCAGUGUGUCGCCUUGGGGAGCGCCGAUAUUAUUUGUAAAGAAGAAGGAUGGUUCGCUCAGAUUGUGCGUAGAUUAUCGGGAGCUGAAUAAAGUGACCAUCAAGAACAAGUAUCCUUUGCCGCGCAUUGAUGACCUGUUUGAUCAGCUGUAAGGAUCUUGUGUCUUCUCGAAGAUUGAUCUCCACUCAGGUUUCCACCAGUUGAGGGUGAGGGCCGAGGAUGUUUUCAAGACGGCUUUUCGGACUCGGUACGGACAUUAUGAGUUUACAGUGAUGCCUUUUGGAUUGACGAAUGCCCCUGCCGCAUUUAUAGAUUUGAUGAACAGAGUGUUCAAGCCGUUCCUGGAUAGAUUUGUGGUAGUCUUCAUAGAUGAUAUCUUGAUAUACUCCCGGAGCGAUGUCGAGCACGAGGAGCACUUGAGGACUGUGCUACAGCUUCUCCGAGAGAAGAAGUGGUAUGCCAAGUUAAAGAAGUGCGAGUUUUGGUUACGGGAGGUCGCUUUCUUGGGUCACGUGAUAUCAGCUGAGGGAGUAGCAGUCGACCCGAAGAAGAUUGAUGUGAUUCGGGAUUGGCCCAGACCGACGACGGUGACUGAGGUGAGGAGCUUUCUUGGACUAGCAGGAUAUUACCGUCGAUUUGUGGAAGGCUUUGCGAAACUUUACACACCCCUCACUCGAUUGACGCGCAAGGGGAUUAGAUUCAUCUGGAGUGAGGAUUGUCAGAGGAGCUUUGGUGAGUUGAGACUGAGGUUGACAUCAGCUUCUAUCCUUGCCCUUCCUGUGAUGGGGGAAGGAUUUGUGAUCUAUAGUGAUGCAUCGCACAGUGGACUGGGUUGUGUGCUGAUGCAGCAUGGUAGGGUAAUUACUUAUGCUUCACGGCAGUUAAAGGAUUACGAGAAGAAUUACCCUACGCAUGACUUGGAGCUUGCCGCGGUAGUCUUUGCGUUAAAGUUGUGGCGGCAUUACUUGUAUGGCGAGCACUGCGAGAUUUUCACCGAUCAUAAAAGUCUCAAGUAUCUGUUCACUCAAAGGAAACUGAAUCUGAGGCAGCGCCGGUGGUUAGAGUUAUUGAAGGACUAUGACAUUAGUAUUCAGUAUCAUCCCGGCAGGGCGAAUGUAGUGGCAGAUGCGUUGAGCAGGAAGUCAGUGCAGAGCCUGAGUUUGAUGAUCACCGAGUAGAGGCCAUUACUCGAGGAGUUUCAGCGGCUGAGGCUUGAGAUAGUGUCCCCUGGAUCUACUGCGAGACUGAUGUCUCUGGUUUUGCAGCCCACUCUGUUGGAUAGGAUCCGGAAAAAACAGAGUGGAGAUCCGUGCCUGUUGAGGAUUCGAGAGCAGUUAGAAGGGGGCAGGCUAAGGGUUUUGCUGUGGACAGUUCGGGAGUACUACAGUACAGGGACCAGCUGUGUGUGCCUGUGGAUUCAGAGAUCCGAGAGGCUAUUUUGAGAGAGGCUCAUUGUUCACCUUAUACGGUUCACCCUAGGGGAACUAAGAUGUAUAAGGAUUUAAAGGCACAGUUUUGGUGGAAUGGAAUGAAGAGAGACAUUGGCAGAUUUGUGGCUCAGUGUUUGACUUGCCAACAGGUAAAGGCCGAGCAUCAGGUGCCUGCUGGCAAGCUUCAGAGUCUGCCAGUGCCCGAGUGGAAAUGGGAACAGAUCACUAUGGACUUCGUCGUGGGAUUGCCUAGAGCGCAGGGUGGCUACGAUGCGAUUUGGGUGAUAGUGGACAGACUAACCAAGUCUGCUCACUUCUUACCGGUUCAGAUCACCUGGUCCAGAGAGAGACUCGCGCAGCUAUAUCUGGAUGAGAUUGGUAGGCUGCAUGGCGUGGCGAUUUCGAUCGUAUCUGAUAGGGAUCCGAGGUUUGUAUCACAUUUUUGGAGGAGUUUGCAGACAGCCUUGGCUACACAGCUGCAGUUCAGCACGACGUUUUACCCACAGACAGAUGGUCAGUCAGAGCGGACCAUUCAGACUCUAGAGAACAUGCUGAGAGCGUGUGUCUUGGACUUUGGAGGGGGGUGGUAUCGACAUUUGAGACUAGCUGAGUUUGCGUACAACAACAGCUAUUAAGCGAGUAUUCAGAUGGCUCCGUUUGAGGCGUUGUAUGGACGCAGAUGUCGAUCCCCUUUGUGUUGGAGUGAUGUACGUGAAAGAAAGACGCUUGGGCCUGAGAUUUUGCUGGAGGCUGAGGAAAAGGUGAGAGUUGUUCGACGACACCUUUUGACAACCCAGAGCCGCCAGAGGAGCUAUGCCGAUAUCAGGAAAAGAGACUUAGAGUUUCAGGUUGGAGAUCAUGUAUUUCUUAAAGUCUCGCCGUUCAGAGGGAUUCGCCGAUUGGGAGUACGUGGAAAGCUCAGUCCACGCUUUGUUGGCCCUUUUGAGGUAUUGGAGCGAGUGGGACCAGUUGCAUACAGGAUCGCUCUACCCCCGCGACUAGCUGGUAUUCACGAUGUCUUCCACGUCUCGGUUUUGAGGAGGUAUGUUUUCGAUCAUUCUCACGUGAUUGACUUCACUCCACUCGAGAUUAGCGAGGAUCUGAGAUACGAGGAGCGACAGUUGCGGAUUCUUGGCCGAGAGACGAAAGAAUUGCGCAACCGGGUCAUCCCGUAUGUGAAAGUGCAGUGGAGCCAUCACGAGGAGCGGGAGGCGACUUGGAAACCUGAGACGGUGAUGAGGGAGUCCUAUCCCUACCUAUUCGAUGCCCUGAGCUGAGGUAUGUUCAAGUUUCGAGAACGAAACUUUUUGUAAUGGGGCAGGAUGUGAGACCCCUGGUGUUCAGCAGUGAAGGCAUGUCGACAGCUCUGGAGAGUGUCGAGACAAGUUUGAGUCGCGUUCGCGCGAAAUAGAUGCAAAACGGACUCUGUGCGACGCGAGAGCAGCAUUUAGCAAGAAAAUCUGCAAAAAAGUUGAUUUUCUGCUUGCUGUACCGGUAUUGUGACACCCCAAUAGUCCCACAUCGGAUGGGAAUGAUGUUGUCAUUGGGUUUAUAAGAGACUUAGACACUAGUAAUAAUAACUGGGCUUAAGCAUUUUGGGCCGGUGGUUGGGCCCAACGAGUUAUUAUUACUAGUGGGCUGGGUCGUUACAUUUGGUAUCAGAGCCGGUUCACCAGCUGGACAUGUGUGGCGAGUCUCGGCUGAGCCAGGGUCUGGAUGACGGGCUAGCGAGACGAGUCUCACAUAGCCUGGUGAUCUUGGGCUGUGUGUGAUUGGACUGACGAGGACGUCAGGACCUUAACGGGGGGAGUCUGUGACACCCCAAUAGUCCCACAUCGGAUGGGAAUGAUGUUGUCAUUGGGUUUAUAAGAGACUUAGACACUAGUAAUAAUAACUGGGCUUAAGCAUUUUGGGCCGGUGGUUGGGCCCAACGAGUUAUUAUUACUAGUGGGCUGGGUCGUUACAGGUAUAGCCAUCAUGGUGCACCGGUGCACCGGUACACCGCACAGGUUGCGCGCAAACUGCUCUCAGGUUGGCUUCUUAUAUCGGUACGCGAGCCCAUGUACCGGUACGCCAGGGUAGGUAGGAGGACUUUUUGGUCUUUUUCCACCUCGUUCGUGUCACCCUUUUCCUCUAUCACUAUUUAGAUUUACGUAGAGCUGAGAGAGAGAGUUUGUACUGUCCUUCUACUCCUCUCUCUCUAGCUUCGAUCGUGGGUCAAGGAGGGAGCUCGGGUGGAGGUUUCGCCGUCGACGUCGCGCCGCGAAGCCAUUUGAGCGUACGUUCGCCGCCGUUGUGUCGCAAGGAGGCCGGGCGAGCGUGGAUCUUCGCCGUUAUUGACGUCGCACUGGUGCUAGUUGUGGUCAAGGUGGGUAUUCCGUUGAAUUGCUUCUUCUUUUCCAAGCAUCAUCAAAUUCGAGCUAAGUGUUGAUUUGCAGAUUUUCCAGCGUCGACCGUUAGCGUUUCGGCCCGUUCUCGACGUAGGAGAGUCGAAUUUCGACGAGAUUUGGUUCGUUGGAUUCAGGACUUAGAGAGGAAUCCACGAAGCCCUUAUUUGCUGGAUUUGGUGAAGGUUAGCUUGGUCGAAAUUAUAAUCUCCUCUGCUGCUGCGUUUCGGACAGAAUUAAUGGAUUUCAGUGCUUUACCUUGAUGUAGCUUUGUUGCUGGAUUUGUGGGCGUUUCGGUUGAUCCAGCAGGUUAUCCCGCAGCUGAGGGACUUCAUCGCUGUUAGGGAUUAGCUCUCAAGGUGGGUUAAUCAUCGGUUUACUCCUAAGUGCCUAUAUAGUCGACAUGUAUUCGUGGCGUUAUUUUGUGUGUAGUAAUUGCUCGGUUCAUUGAUUUACUAUGUUUAAUAAUCUGAAUUGGAGCCUUGGUUAUUGUCUUUGGAUAUAUAUACAUGUUGGACUUGGAUGAGACUUAGGAGAAAACUAGCGAUUAUGAUCGUCAUAUGCUUAAACUACCUGAUUUAGCCCUAGGGGCCGUUGUAUAAAUUUUUACUGUUGCAGUAUCCUCUUAGUGGGUAUUCCAGGUAGUUUAGUUUUUAGUUACGUUCGUGCUGAGAUGCCGAGUGUAUUUUUACAGUAGCGUUCAGACUGUUCCGAACUGUUGGGUGCCGUCGGGGUUGACGGUGAACCCAUAUCGCCUGUUUGGCGUCGAAUUGUGCCGAGAGCACGUUACUUGUUGGUUGUUAGACCAGUUUGAGUCGGUUACUGGACUUUGGCUUUCGAGAGCCUGAUUGAGCUCGACAGAGAUACGCUGCAUACUCGGUUGGGUAGCUCCCACGAGUGCCACUCCAGAGACGGGCGCUGUGCUUUCGCGUUGGUGUCGCUCAUGCCGGUUGGACUUGCUCUCCACGGACUAGUAGUGUGGAGGUAGCUGGAUAGUCACAACUGGACAGGGACGGGUGUGUUCACAGUCCCAGGGACGGGUAUGCUUACAGUCCCGAUUGGAUUGGGUUAGAUUUGACAUUUCCUACAGUUGGUUAGUGUCGAGCAUGGUAGUGUAGUAAUCCAUAGCGGUAGAUUUCAUUCUUGUAUUUACUACUAUCUUUGCUCCAUUCUGUAGACUUAGUGGGUGGACCGAUGUUGUUGAGGGCGGCACCCACUGAGGACUACCUGUUUUUACAGUAGUUCUCACGCCCUGUUUUACCCUCCUGUUUUUGUAGAGCCAUCGUCUUCGACUGCUGCUGUUGCCGACCAGGAUCGAGGCAAGGGCGUCGCGAGUUAGAGCCCUACCAGACGUGCCGAAUUAGAGGUACCCCUACUGCAGGUAGAUGUUUAUUUUGAGUUCAUGUACAUAGUAUACUUAACUCGUCAGUGCGAGUAGCUCUGAGUUCUGUUUACUCUAGCAGUUCUAUACUACUGCUUGUAGUAUUGUAUGAUUUACAGGUACAGCUAUCGCUUCGUAUACAGGGAAAAUUUCUUUGUAUACGGCGGAUUUGUCGGCGUGCCCGGGAACAUGUAAUCCGGGGCGUGACAAAAUUAAUUAAUUAUAAUUAAUUAAUAGUAAAUUAAAUAAUUAAUUAAUAAUAAAUUAAUUAAUUAAGAAUAAAUUAAUGAUAAAUUAGUUACUUAUAAAUAAAUAAAUAAAUAAAUUAUAAGUUAAUAAAUAAAUAAAUUAAGUAGUUAUUAAUAAUUAUAAAUAAUAAUUUAAUUAAUAAUUAUAAAUAAUAAAUUGAAUAAAUUAUUUUAUUAUUUAAGCAAUAAAUAAUUAUUUAAAUAUAUUAAUUAAUUAAUUAUUUAUUUAUUACCAUAAUUAAAAUUAUUUUUAGACUUUAAUUAACUUUAUUCUCACCUAGGAACAAGCUUGUUCCAGGAAAAAGAUGUAACAACAGUUCCAGUCUUAUACCUGCUUAUUUCAAAAAUCUAAAAACUACUGUUCUUGAGUACCAAACGUAGCAUUUGGAAACAAAGAGGGAAACAAGGACUUAUUCCUCCUCUUGUUCCUGAACCAAACGCUAUCCUAGGUGAACUAUAUCUAUUUGAGCUUGAUAUCAAGCCAAACACAAGUGAAUGACCACAACUCGUGUUCGACUUUAUUAAACGAACGAUUCAAUUAUGAUCCCAUUUCGAGUCAAAUACAAGACGGAUUGCCGGCCCUACUUGUCACCCAUUAUUUGGUUAGCAUGCAUUAGAGGCUAAUAAAUCCUAACAACAAGAAAAAAGUCAUUUCAUCAGUACGUCCAAUUUUAUAUAUCUUUACCUGUGCUUUGCGUGCUGUUGUUAUAAAAUGUUAUUAUUAAUAAUAUAGUUAUUUAUCUAACUAAAUUUUGAAUAAAAAUUAAAAUUUUAAUAUAUUUAAUAAUAGGGAAAACUUCAAAAAACUCCCUUGUAGUUUCAAUUUUUUUCACUUUAGUACCCUGUGGUUUAAAAUGUAUCAAGUUAGUUUCCUGUGGUUUCUCACUUUAUCACUAUAAUACCCUGUGGUUUAAACUGUAUCAAGUUAGUACCCUGUAGUUUUGCACUUUAUCACUUUAGUACCCUGUGGUUUUAAUUUUGUAUCAAGUUAGUACCCUGUAGUUUUUUAAACCAUAGGGUACUAAAGUGAUAAAGUGUGAAACCACAGGGUACUAAAGUGAUAAAGUGCAAAACCACAGGGUACUAACUUGAUACACUUUAAACCACAGGAUACUAAAGUGAUAAAGUGAGAAACCACAGGGUACUAACUUGAUACACAUUAAACCACAGGGUACUUGUCACGCCCCAAUCCCCGCCAAUUUGGUUGGGUUCAGGUCACGUCAACAAACGCUGAACGGACAGGCCUCUCCUGUCCGCCCAAGGCUCGAACAACAUGUAUAAAUAAGCAAUCAACAAGAGAUUUGCAUAUAUAAUACAAGGCUUGCACGUGGGCAAGCAACAACGGAAGUGAAAGCUCUAAGCUAAAUAUACAACAUACAUGAUAUUUGAUUAAAUUUAAACCAAAUACAAGUAAAUAAAACUAUUAUAUUCCAUUCAACCAUCAUAUCUUUUUACAUUUAGCCAUGCACCAAUUACAUGAUUGUUUACAACUUUAUAUCUCUAAAUCACCAAAAGAAGUUGAUACAUGUGAGUAUAGGAAUGACUACAAAAUGCAAAAUAUCCCCGGUGGCCGCUACUUACGGAGCUAAACCCUUGCCUCGGUCCUCCGCCGCCCCGCUCGUGCUAGGACCUGUAGGGUUAGUGGUGUGAGAACUACAACGAAGUUCCCAGUGGGUUCGGCAUCCGACCUCACCGACUUACCCACUAGGUCUAUCCAGGCAUAGGUAUUUCAAGGAAAGAAAAGUAAACAGUACUAAUGCAUCUAAUACCAUGCCUGCAGAAGAAUGUCAGUGGAUACAUAUGCUUGCUGCAAUAAUAGAAAAUGCAUGCAUUCUCAAAUCAUAAAUAAGCUUUGGCUCUUACCCAAUCUUACCGGUUAACCUUGUUAACCCCAAUAACUCACAACCCAAAAUCCCUUAAUAACGGGAGACUCGAACCUCCCUAGGGACCGUCAUCUGGGGGGACUUUACCACGCCCAGUGGUGACCAACUCCGGAGCGCACCGCCCGAGGGGAAGCGACCUCCCUCAAGCCAAGACGUAUCGUGAAUAUUGAUCCAAUCCUCACUUGAGGAUUCAUAGCCACUAGUCACAAUGCCGGUGUCAUGAUAGGUCUCUACCUAUUCAUUUUGGUCACUCUCUAGGCUAUACCUGUGAUGAUGCCAUAAUUGGUAAAACUAUGUUUAACGGUUCAUCUCUCAAUGCCAAUCUUGUUUCUAUGUCAAUGUCACCUUUGUUUUCUAUGGUCCAUGUCCAAACCUCACAUUCACACAACUUGAGGGUCCAAUCACACAUGUCCAUUUUUUGGUUCUAUCAUUCUCUAUGUUCAACUACGUUAGAAGCAUAUAAGUGAAGUCAAACCAUGUUUCACAUGUAUCUACCCUACUAUGCAUGAAUGGCUGUAUAUAGACAUAUGCUCAAUAAAAGGAAAAACAGAUAUAGAAGGGAAUACAACGAUUCCGGCGUGCACCCCCCACCUCUAGUAGUCGUGUGGGUGUAGAAUACGAAGACUCCCGAACGCUACGAACGUCGGCUCCGCGUCCUAUAACCAAGUUAGUGCCCUAUUAGGCCGUUUAUACAUGAACUAUACCUGAACAUUUUCGUAACGUUGAACGGAGUUGUCCAACAUGUUUAUUUGACCCCCAAUUAGGUUUUUACGGGGUUAGCCCUAACAAUGCCAUUUAGGGUUUCCACCUAGAUUGAUCUUGUUGCUAAGCAAAAGAUAGCAUAGAAUCACUUAGAAAGCAUUCUAAUAAGGUUUCCAAGCUUUUGGAACCAACCCUAGGGCUUCUAUGAUGAACCCUAACCAUCCACCAUGAGAGCACUUGAGCUCUUAUGGGUUCCAUGGAGUUCAAGGCCUUUAGAAGGUUCCCAAGGCUAAAAACAACCCAAAACUCCAAAUCUUAGGGAUCAAAACCAAACCCUAAACUCAUUUAUACCAAAAACUCACCUUAGCCCAAGCUCCUCCAAGUCCUUCUUGUAGGAGAGCUUGUAGAACUCACCAAAGCCUCCAAAUCCACCUUCUCCUUGCUUCUUCUUCUUCUUCUCCAAGCCCUAGAGCUAGGGUUCUAGAGAGAGAAACAGAGAAAAUGAGAAAGGGGGAGAGAAAUGACUGUGGGAGAGAGGGGAAUAGCCAUAUAACAUGUUGUGACAAUUGCACUUAAGCCCUUCCACUUGUUUCAUAGUGCACUGCCCAGACUGGGCGUUUUUCGCUGUCGGGGACCGGUCUCCCCGACCAGGGACCGGUUACCGAACGAUGGGUUUUCAGGACUUCACCAAAUUUUCGGGUUUUUGGCUGGCUGCGCAGCGAGGGACCGGUCUCUCCUUCAGGGACCGGUCUCCUGAGGAUCGGUCUCACAGCCAGGGACCGAAUGCCUCAGGAUUUCCUGGCAGGCUACGCGUACGGGGACCGGUCUCUCCUUCAGGGACCGGUCCCCGAGAACACAAAAUCUGGGACUUAGCCAGAUUUUGGGAUUUCACUCUCUCGGGUCCCUUUGCCCUAUAGAUAGGCUCCAAUGCACUUAGGGCCUAUACUCACUCGUUCCACUCCGCGUUCCGCUCAUUUCGACGGAACUCGGCACGAUUUACGAGGGAUGUGGUAUGUUACAGUACUAAAAUGAAAAAGUAUGAAACCACAAGGGGGGUUUUUGAAGUUUUCCCUUAAUAAUAUGACUAUUUAAAAUCUACUUACAAAUAUAAAAAGAAUUAAAUAAUUAUCAAAGAACGAAUAUAAUUUAUCUAUUUUUGUUAUAAAUAACAUGUCAGAUCGUUGGCGCUAAUCAUUAAUCUCAAAAGCUCAAGCUGUUAGAAAUACACAACUAAUUCAGUUAAAGCGUACAGACACGGCGUCCACGGGUCUUGAUUGUGAUUCGGCUCAACCAGCCUCACGCCACUUCGAACAUGAUUCGAUCUAAUCUAGCCUCACGUCAUUUUGAACGUGACACAGCCAACCUGGUCUUCUGUCACAUGGCAGGAUGUAAGAUGCUGGCCCAUUUAAGCAAACAUAACACAAUAUUUAAAUUUUAUAAUAAUAAUUUUAUUAUGUUGAGACAUGUGGCACAAUACGUUGCAUUGAAUAUUUCUUUUAUAUAAUAUACAUGAAAGAUUUCGUUAGUGUUUAAAAAAUAUAAACACAUACAAACGUAUAAAACUUAUAUUAAGGAUGGACAAAUUUAUGUUUGAUAUCCGGCUUCUAAAAUCUUAAUUUCACUAUCCAAUUUUUCAAUUUAUUUUAUUUGAAUCGAUCAACGGCAUUUUGACAUUAAAAUAUAAAUGCAUUGUUUAUUUUUAAUGGUUUAGCUAGUAUACUUUAUGUAAUUCUCGCAACUAUAAAUUAUUAAAGUAAAUAAUUAGCUUAAAAUUUCAAAUCAAAAUAUUGUCGACUAAGUCAAAUCAAAUAAAUUGAAAGGUUGGAUAGUAGUAAAAUUAAAAUUUUAAAUAAUUAGGUAGCUAAUUUUCAAUGGCCUGUAGUUCAUAUAAGUUUGGUAUGUUUUAACCAAAAAGAAAUAAAAAAGGCAACUAAGCUGAACAAGGGCUAAGCUUAUUAACUUUGAUAUACUUGCUUGUAACUAAACAUAAGUCACUUCUUUUUAGUUCCCUGAAAAACUAAUUAUCACAUGUGAAUUUUGAACAAUCUUACUUCUCCGCGUACAAAAUCCUCUUGAAAGGCCAACUUAAACUUUUCUGACUAAGUUUUCUCUACAAGAGAUAUGAUAGCAUUGCUCUAUUUCGUGUAAGAUUCGUGUCUGAUCAAUUCCAUUAAGCCGUACGAGAUGAUAAAUACCUGAUUAAGAGCAAUAUAUAAGAAAAAAAAAACAGUUUGAUUGAAGGAUAUUAUUAUUUCAGUGAAAUAGCUGCUACAAAGCAAGCUUCCACCUUUUCAACCCAGGUAACUUAUUCCAAAGUCUUAUCUAUUCCACUCAAUUUGACCUGAUUUAACUAUAAUUGAUCUGUCCGAACCCAAAAUUAUAAGUCUAAUUACAUUGUUCACUCUAAUAAAUUGGACUACAAUCUAAUCUGAAGUAGGAAAAUAAGCGAACCUGUAGAACGCAGCGGAAGUAUUCGUUCGUACCUUUUUGCGGGCGCGAUUCGUACUAGAACGCGACGAGCCCGGAUCGUAGAGAUUGAUUCAUGUGUCUUCGGAUUGUCCUUGAAGGUCCUCUAACACUCCAAACUCGCGGUGGAUCGAACUACAACCGAGCACGAUUUCCAAUCCACCGUUCAAGGCUUUCUAGAAUAAUAGAUUAAUGGAGGAUAUGGUUUCUACGUCUCUCUUCUUUUUUUUUUUUUUUCUUAUUCUCUUUCUUAUUAUUUUUAUGUGAGAUCGCCCGCAUAUUUGUAAGGGAUUCCAAAAUCCUAAUAGGUGCGUUGUGUAAGAGAUAAGGCCAAAUCGGUUAUUAAUUGUUAUUCUAAUAUAACUAGAAUUUAUCUCUAAUUAGCUUUCCAAUUUAAAAGCGAGAUUAAUCCUGAUCCAAUUAGAUAAUAUAAUAACCGUCGAAUCGAGCCCGAUCAUGAGCGCACUCGAUUUGAUUUAACCGAAUGUCAGCAUCUUCUACUCGCACAUGACGGGAUCGAUGCCAUCAUAACCACUUCCUCAACAUUACAUUACUAUUAAUUCUAUUCAUACAGGAAAAUGAACAGUGCGACUGCUGGUCAACCUGCAUUUUGGGAGCUCUAUACUAGAAACCGCAUGCGGCCAGCAUAGAGACAUCAACUCUCAAAAUAGAAUAUUAGACUCGUGAUGCUCUAGACUAUUGAAUUACAUCAGGUUCAGUAUCUCUAAUCCCUCAAAGAGCCAUACUAACCUCUAUUGUCCACAUUAUGACACUAUACUCAUGACUGUUUCGCUAUGUUGAAGCGACACAACCUGUUGACAAUGAGUCAAAGUGUCUGAAUGUAAUUGAACUAGUCUUCCUUGAGUCCUCAUGCCAUUGAGUUGAGAACUGAUUGCUUUCCUAGUAAUGCCCCAUAAAACCGCAUCACUCAUAGCCGUAGGUAACAUGCCAAAGUAGCAACAUCAAUUUUUUCACUUAAUGAUAUAGUCAAAAGUCACUAAGGACAUCUAACAUAUAUAGGACAUCGCCUCAAAAUAAUGUCCAUACAUCUAACAUAUAUAGGACAUCGCCUCAAAAUAAUGUCCAUAAGAACUCACACGAUGAGGAAGCAGGGAUCCAUUCACUCAUCUUCUUUAUUUUGUCGUCUAGCACGUGUAGUAUGAAAUACAUGCUAUGACAGAGAGUCUCAAUGAGCGUAUGUCUUUCUCAAUGUCAUACGAAUCUUAGCUCAGUCACUCCCGGAGUGUCUAGCCUGAGUUCUCCAUUUGCUCGUUAUCUCAAGUCGCCAAACGGUGAGCUCACAUCCGGCUUUUAAUGUACAGGCCAUAUGAAUCGUGGGACUAUUCGUAUGCGGUCUUAUUAAUGAUCUCAUCUUGGUGCCAACCGAGACGGCUUCCAUUAAUGCCUCAAUUUUCGCUCGCUCUCUACAGCGUCGAAAAGAAUGAUUGCCCGUGUGAGAGGGCCAAUCGGCCUGCGACAUACUAUCAAUCCGUUCAACAACAAUAUAGGAAAUAUAUGCACGUGUGUUAAUCUUACCAAAUAUCUUUGUCAAAAUAAUAAUUUGUAAUUAAAUAACCAAAAAUAUCACAAAAAGAAAUGGCUUAAAAUAAUCAACUGUUUACACAAUCAAAUCCUACGGAGUCCAAGAGCUUUAACAUGAGCCAAAAAGGAUUCUCUAAUAAUUGGCUUAGUCAGAGGAUCUGCAACCAUGCGACUCGUAGAAAUGUGUUUCAGGAUUAUUUCCUUCUGCGCAACUACCUCACGAACAAAGUGAUACUUUAAGUCGAUGUGCUUAGUCUUGCCAUGAUAUUUUGGAUCCUUCGUGUAUGCAAUCGCCUCCAUACUAUCACAAUAGAUCGUCACAGGAAUGUAAGUACAAGUGACAACCCCAAUAUCUCGAAGGAACCUCCUCAACCAGAUAGCCUCCUGAGCCGCUACAGAACACGCCACGAACUCCGCCUCUAUCGUGGAUAGAGCUACGCAGAUCUGUUUCUUACUACUCCAAGAUAUGGCACCAUUGUCAAGCAAGAAUGCAUAUCCUGAGGUCACUUACGCUCAUCUAGGUCACCAGCCCAAUCCACAUCGCUAUAACCGAUGAGACGAAAUCCGUACCUUGAUAGCACAGCAUAUAAUCUAUCGUACCUCUGAGGUAAUGAAGUAUCCUUUUAACAGCAUUCCAGUGGUCCAAUCCCAGAUUGGACUGAAAACGACUAACCAGACUUACGACAUAGCAUAUAUCAGGCCGAGUACACAUCAUAGCAUACAUCAGGCACCCGAUCGCAUUAGCAUAUGGAAUCCGAUUUAUCUUUUUUUUUUUCUUCAGAAGUUUUAGAGCACUAAUUAAGGUUCAGACUCUCACUUUUAGCAAUAGGAGUAUCAAUGGGUUUGCAAUUGUAUAUCUGAAAUCGUUCUAAAACUUUUCUUAGAUAAGUCUCUUGAGACAAACCUAAAAGUUUUUUUGAACGAUCUCGUAGGAUCUUAACUCCGAGCACAUAAUUCGCUUCACCCAUAUUUUUCAUUUCAAAAUUAGAGGACAACCAUGUCUGAGUGAUGACAAUCAUCUUUUUAUUAGUCCUGGCCAAUAAAAUGUCAUCAACAUAUAAGGAAAGGAUUAGACAAUAUUCUUUGGACCGUUUAACAUACACACAGUGAUAUCCUUCAAUCAUCGUAAACCCAUCUUCAGUGAUGGCUCGAUGAAUCAAAUAUAUCACUAUCUGGAGGACUACUUUAAUCCAUAAAUAGAUCGUCGGAGAUUACAAACUUUAUGCUCCUCACCCUUUGAAGGUUUUCUCGUAAUCAACGCCUUCUCGUUGGGUAAAACCCUUUGCUACCAAGCGAGCCUUGUACCUAUCGAUUGAACCGUCUGUCUUGUGCUUAAUCUUGAAAACCCAUUUAUUCCCGAUUGUUUUGUGCCCUGGUGGCAAGUCAACCAAGUCUCAGAUAUGAUUUGACUUUAUCGAUUCUAUUUUCUCCAUCAUUGCAUCCAACAAUUCCUUAUGAGUAGGUAAUGAGAGAGCCUCUUGGAAAGAUCUAGGCUCAACAUCAUCAUGUGCAGCAAUCAUGAAAGCUUCCCCCUUAACCAUUCCUUAUCUAAAGGUAAGUUGUCACGCCUCGCGACCCGCCAAUUUGGUCGGAUUCGGGGCGUCGAUCAGACGCCGAACGGACAGCACCUCCCCUGUCCGCCCAAGGCUAGAACAACAAGAUCAUGUACAAGAAUUGCCCAGGAAAAUUCAUUCAACAUACAUGAUCAAUACGAAGCACCAUAAGUGCUAUACAAAUUAAGAGCAAGAAUCACAAGUAUCAUACAAGUGAAAUAAAGAGAGAUACAUCUAGCUAUUACAUCACAUUUAACCAUUACACAUUGAUUUACAUUUUCAUGUUCCAAAAUGAAUACAUAUUCUUCUCAUAAUACAAAAUGGCUCUCUAAAUACAUAAGUAACUCUCAAAUACAUCAUAUCUCUACGUACACGAGGGUACUCUAAUGCAUAAGAAAGCUACUAGCUAUUAGGGCGCUAUGCCCUUACCACGGUCCUCUGCCGGUACACUCUUGCUAGGCCCUGCAACAAAGUUGGGUGAGAACUAUAUAAAUAUAGUUCCCAGUGGGUUCAGCCGCCGACUCCGCCGAUCUUCCCACUAGGUCCAAGCAGGCACAAGCAGCUAGAUAGAUAGAUAGAUAGAUAUGAAAUUGAAGUGCAACAUAGUAAAGUAAUCUGCACAAGCCGGCAUAAGGUAGCGCAAGGCUCGCGAAGGCAAGUGUGCCGAGCGGGGAUUCGUGGGGCGCGGCGCCUACGAAGGCCAAGGAGGCGGGACUCAAUAGGAAUGCUAAAGGGAGGCACGCCGAGGGAGAAUUCGUAAGGUGGGUGGCCUACGAGACUCGAGGGGCGGAACCCAAUGAGGCAAGCGGUAUCGGUAUCCGUAUAGUGAACCUUGAGAGACUGGACCAAUGGUGUGAGCGGCCAGACGUGGCCGAGCCAAAGACGGGGCCAGUGGCUAGCGAUGCGGAGCGAGGCUGGUUCGUUUGUAUGGGGCCUUAUGAGGCGAACCUAUGGGAGUCAAGGGCGCGGAGCGCCGUGGCAAAGCGAGGGUCGCCGAGACGGUCGAGAAGCACGGUGUGGACAUGUUGGUUCCCUUGUCAGGAGCGAUGGGACACGAGGGCCGCACAGGUCGAAUGCAAAGCACGGAGGUGCGGAGCAUGGACGUGCGGGGUGUCAUGCUAAGGUGCUGAUGUUGGGGACAAGCGAGCUUGUGGCGCACACUUGGGUGGCUUUUCGGAGGUAAGCCGUUGGACCGAGCAAGCAGGCCGCGUAGGCGGUAUGGCCAUGGACGUUGUCUGGCGCGUGAGGCACGAUGGUGAGGAACUUAUGGUUAUGAGUGCUCUUCGUGGCAUGUGAUGUCGCGAAGCCCGGACCUCGACGCUUGAGGCGUGCGGAUGGAGUCGCGGGAGCGAAACGCGUGGGAGGCGAGACGCUUGGCUAUACUCAAGUUGGGGAGAACUUGUAAUGUCCUUGGGGCUAGUGACAGAGGCAACAAGGCAUUCGGUUAUGAAGCACUCUUGAGGAGAGAUCGGUUGGCAAGAUGGGAUGCACCUAGCUUGGUGGCCAACCUCGGUAUUAGGGUUGCUCGUUGGAAACUCGAGGAGUCCAACGAGGGGUUCGAUUACAGGCGAAGGGUCGGGCUGUAAGUCUCGCGGAGGAGCAAGCUUGGCAAAAUGCUUGGAUUGGUAUUCCGCUGUUAAGUCUGGGAGACUUGUCCAUGGAGAGGACUCGAGAAGGCUGGCUCGGGUGUGCGACACUUGAGCGCCGCGCGGGGAUUUUCAAAGCGAAAAAGCUGACCCCGCGACAAGUAUGCCUUCAUUAAUCAAGGAUAUGAGCUACAAUAUAGUAUAUGAUCUAUGCCUCAAUGAUCCGAUGUAUAAGCAACUACAUAGUAUGCAAUCUACACAUUCUACUAUACCUCAACAAUAAUGGAAAUGAACUACUACAUAGUAAUGUAAACUAUACAUGAUACUAUGCCUCAACAAUAAAAGAAAUGAGUUACUACAUAGUAUGCAAGCUACAUAUGAUACUAUGCCUCAACAAUAAAAGAAAUGAGCUACUACAUAGUAUGCAAACUACACAUGAUACUAUGCCUCAACAAUAAUGGAAAUGAGCUACUACAUAGUAAUGUAUCCUGCAACAUGCUACUAUGCCUCAAAUAUCCGAAUGUCAUAUCCAAAAAUGCAUGAGCUACUACAUAGUAUACAAUCUACAUAUGAUAUUAUGCCUCAAAUAAUCACAUGAAUGAACGAGCUAUUACAUAGUGCGUCAUGCAACUAUGCCUCGAUAAUAUCCAAUCUCAUGGCCAACCCGAAGGUUGCCGACUCACUCUCAAUCUCAUAGGUGAGGAGAAGCUGCAAUCGCACACCGAGACAGUCUGCGGGACAACUAUGUCUACCCCUAUGUGAAGUACUCCGGAGACCACUGCUUCGGUGGAGCAACCAUCGACAAGCGAAAACAGACUAGUGAGUAUGAUCAAAUCCUCACAAGAGGAUACCCUAUCUACUAGGGUCAUGGUGUCUCUACUGCACUAAUGCCAAUGCAUAAUGUCCACAACAUGACAAUUGGAAAAAUCUACUAUCCCUAGGUUCAAAUGCCAUAGUGUUCCACUACACUAGAUUUGAUGCCACUCAUUUAUGUCAUGAUGUUAUAUGUGUUUCGAUACACUAAAUUGACAUGCCACUCGUUCUUGUUAUAGUGUCUCUAUUACACUAAUCCAUAUGCCACUCAAUAUGUCAUGAGGUUGUAUGUGUCUCAAUACACUAAAUUGACAUGCCACUCGUUCACAUUACAGUAUCUGUACUAUACUAAUUUGAAUGCCACUUGUUUUCAUCAUCACAAGUCUAAGUUCAUCAUCAUUCGUGUCACUAUAGGAUUCUUGUCACAUGACCCAAUCCUCAUGCAACCUAAGAUCAAGUGUCAAGCCCACAAUGCUACACUACCAUAGGAAACAUGCAAGAAAAUGGAAUGUAAUCAUCUACUAAUCAUAUAAUGCACACUAUCAAUAUAUGAAUAUGAUCAAAAUAGAACUUAGACAUAAAAGGAAGUCCGGUUGCUUCGGGAUGGACACCCCCCACCUUUUAUGGCGUUCUGAUUGCUCGUAGUCACUUGCAAUCGGCCUCCCGCGGCACCCGCCGGCCGGUUCGGCCCAAUCUCACGCUCGACCACCGAACAACCACCAAUCCGCAAUCCAGAAAUUAAAGAUCUAUAACUUGAUGCCACGAUGCUAUGAUCUUUAUCUCAUAAUUUUUGGAUGCCUUCUCGGCUCUUCAGGCGGAAACGAAGCUCUAACAGUCCAUUUCCUCAAUAUCUUCGCGUAGGCUCGACGAAUGCUCAAACCGAGUGCACGAACGCGUUCGGGGAUCUAACAAUUAGGUUAGAGAAAGGUCAAUUGAGAUCAAAACCCCUCAUGAGCAAAAGCCCUCUUUUUGGAGCCCUAAAUCACCAUUGAUGCAAUUAGCUUCCUACAAGCUACUAUUCUUGCAAUAAAUGAGAUUAACUACUCUUAGAGCACCAUUAAAUUCCAUUUCUAAGGUAUUUAAACCUAAUCCAAGCCAUUCACCAUGAGAGGGGUUCAAAACCUUACCUCUACUAAGCUUUUCCCUAAGCAAAAGGAAGAAGAAGAUGAAGAAGGUGAUGGAGCUUCUCCUUCUAGCUCCAAAUCUCCACAAAUCCUCCCUCUUGAUCCAUUUCUAGAGAGAGAGGAAGAGCUUCUAGAGAGAGAGGAAGAGAGUGUUUUAGUGUUUGGGUUGAGAGAAAAUGAGAGGAGAGGUCUCAUAUCACCUCUAUACAACCUUCACUAAUGCAGAAUUGCAAGAAACCCCCUCAACUUUGUGUUUUAUGCACUGCCCGCGCGGGGCUAUUUUUUGUAUAGGGGACCGGUCCCUGGUAGUGAGAGACCGGUCCCCGAAGUUCCAGAAUUCCAGCAUUUUUAGAACUUAGCCAAAUUUCAGCCUUUUUCGUUUUCGGGGUCCGAUUUCGCUCGUUUUCGCUCGUUUGACCUCCGAUUCUUUUCAAAUCGAACCGAAACUCUCCAAACAUGAUUUUGAGCGUAUUUUCAUCAUCUUUUCAUCCGCGCUAAUGCUGGAUUUAGUCCAUGGUCCAACAUAGCCUUCGGGUCCAGUUUUCGCUCCUACGCGCUCCGAAAACGUCCGAAUGCUUCCGAACUUUACUGGAAUCAUUCUAAUGGCUUUCCAAACCAACAUACCCCGCAACUUCAUAAUUUUAGAAGUUCGGUACCUUACAUCCUCCCCUCCUUAAAAAGAGUUUCGUCCUCGAAACUCAAAUCAUUCCUUAACUCGACUUAUCGAGCAAUCGAGGGUAAUAACGCACUUUUCAACUCUGGAGUGGCCUUUCACUCACUGGAACUAUCCAAAGGCCCACAACGGAGGAUGUGAGAUCAAACUCACACACAUUUGCUAAGCGCAACACCAAAAGUGCAUUACGGCUUCGCAAGUCUCGGUGGCAGCGUAAGUUGACUGUAACAUACCAGAUUUUGGUAUAAAAAUAAAAAUAAAUAAAAAUAGUGUGAGAAGCUAUUUUUAUUGAAUUUAGAGAAGUAAAAUAUAAGUCAGAAGUGACUUGUGCUGAAAUCGGAAUGAAAACAGAAGAUUUAUAAUUUUAUGUUGGAAACGGGACAGGUAAAUUAGCAGAAAAUGCACAGUCUCAGAAAAUUAUGAAAAAUGAAGGAUAAGUCAGAAAUAUUUUUAUGAGGCUAGAUUUCAAGUUUCAUAUUUUUCUUACACCCGUAGAGUGAGAAAUAAAAUCCGACAGCUAUCUGAUAAAGAUUACAGUUCGGUACAGUUUUCAGUGACCAAAUGGGGUCGAAACUGAAAACUUAAAAUAUAUUCUUACUCAGUACGUAAAACCGAAUAUGACUGUCAAGUUUGAGCUCAAACGGACAUUCAGAGAGUUCCGGCGAAAGUUAUCAGAUUUCAAGCUGCUUGGAAGUGAAUAGUGUUGGGGUGUAAUUAAAAUAGAAGCUCUUGGCUUCUUCUUCCCCAACCAGCCGCACACACACACCCGCACGCCACACACACACGCAUGGAAAGAGGGAGAAAGAGAAACCUCCCAUUUUCUCUUUAAAUCUCUCCCAAAAUUGAUGAAUUUGGUGGAGAAGCAAGCUUGGAGGUUGAUCUUCAUCUCCUUUAUCUUCUUCUUCUCCAUUAAAGCAAGCUUUGAAGGUAAGCUUCAAAAUCCUUUAAUGGCAUUUCUCUCUAGUUUAGUUUUUAAGCUUUAAGAAUGGGUUUAGAGGUAUUCUAGCAUGCUAAUUAGAGGUUUGAUGCUUGAAACCAAGGCCCUAAUAGUGGGUUUUUACCUAAUAGUAAACCUAGGGCUCAAAAAUGCUAGUUUUGUAAAUAUGAGGGUUUGAUCUCAUUUGACCCUCCGUAAAUCUAAUUGCUAGGUAAACGAACGUGUUGGCGAAGACGGUUCGGCGAUUCGUUGAGCCGUUGCGAAGUUAUUAAAGAAACGGACGUUUAGGCUUCGUUUCUGCCUGGAGGGCCGAGGCGACAUCGUAAACCCAUGAAAUCGGAUUUGAAGCAUCGUGGCACACAACCGAAGACCUUUAAUUUUCGGAUCGUGAAUUGGAGGCCGUUCGGAUGGUCGCACGAGAGAUCGGGCCAAACCGGGUGCCGGGUGCCGCGGGAGGCCGAUUGCAAGUGUCGACAAGCAAUCGGAAUGCGAAAUGAGGUGGGUUGUGCUUACCGAAGCGACUAGGUCGCCUGUAUGUGUAAGAGAAAUGAGAUUUCAUAUUGAUGCAUAUUGACAUAAUGUAAGAAUGUGAAAAGAAUGCAUGUUAACAUACUAUAGAAAUACUAGAUAAAUGCAUAUGAUUAAUGCUUUGAAUGCAUAAUAUAAAGGGCGUAUGAAUGUUAGCAUUAUAAGAACAUCAUAAAAGGAAUCUAUGAUGACAUGUUGUAGAAUAUGCUGAAUGUAAUGCAUAAUGAAUUAAGUGCUAAAAGAAUGCAUGAGAUGCUAAGUAUGGACUAUUUUGGAUAAUGACUAUAUGUAUGUUGACAUAUCAUGUGAUGCUAGUGGUAUAUGUGCAUGAUGAUAUAUUAUGAAUUUACAUAUUGUGGAUUAUGUUAAAUAGAAAAACAUACUUGAUGACAUAUUGCCAUGUGGUGGAACAUAGUGGACAAUCUACAUAUAUAUUAGAUCGAGUGGCAUUAAACCUUGUAUCUUGAACCUAGCAAACACUUGUGGUGAUUGAGCAUGUAUAUUCUGGUGUCAUUCAUGUAUGUUAGGACCCUAUUAUUGUGUGAAUGUGAGAGUCGGACUUGGACAAUAGUAAACAAGGGUGACAAUGAAAAUAGAGACAUGAUUGGCAUCAAGAAAGUGGUUGUUAAAUAUAGUUUAACCAUAUUGACAUUGGUCCAAGUUGACAUAGAGAGUGGCAUGAUUAAAUAGGUAGAGACCUAUCAUGACAUUGGCAUUGUGACGAGUGGCUAUGAAUCCUCAAGUUGAGGAUUGGAUCGAUACUCACGUUACGUCUUGGCUUGAGGGAGGUAGCUCCCCCUCGGGCGGUGCGCUCCGGAGUUGGUCACCACUGGGCGUGGUAAAGUCCCCCCAGAUGACGGUCCCCAGGGAGGUUCGAGUCCCCCGUUAUUAAGGGAUUUUGGUAGUGAGUUAUUGGGGUUAACAUGGUUAACCGGUAAGAUUGGGUCAUAGCCAAAUGAGUGUACAACAAGUAUGCAUUAUGAGUUAUGGAUUUGGUAUCCUAGUCGAGAGGAUCUAGGGCUGAGGUGUAUGUGAGACGUCCAUCGCCUCGAGCCUGGUUCUAGUGCGGUACUCCGCAGACGAUUGACUCAAGACCGAGUCGGGUGGUUAGCCUUGUAAAGGUAGAUGAAACUUUAUGAUUAAAACGGUGAUUGACAAGAAUCUAAGAUAGAGGAAACCUUAGAUAUCAAAUGGAUGAGCUAUGGUUAGCAGAAUUGAAAGUAGUAUCGAAUGAACUACUAGUUGGUUGCAUAGUUGCAUUAUUGCAUGAUUUGCAUAUAGCAUUGCAUUAUUGCAUUCGUGAGGCAAUGCAUGGUUUUAUUCGUUGCAUAAUCAAGAUAUAUAUCUAUCUGUUUAUUGAACUAACUUGCAGUUGCCUCCCUUGGACCUAUUGGUCGAGCUUUUCCCUUGGGUGGCCGUACCCACUGGGAACCAUGGAGUUGGUUCUCACCCCACGUGGUUUUGGGGUGUUAUAGGUUCACACGUGAGCGGCGCCGCGCCGCGAGGCGAGGGCGUAGCUCCAUAGUUAGCGUCCUACCACCGAGACCAGAGAUAGUAGUACCCUGAGCCGGCUUUACUUAGGGAUGUAAGAAAAUGAAAGGAAUAAGAUUGUAAUAAUUUGUAAUAAAAGCAUGAUUGUAUUUGGAAGUUAAAUGUAUAAUGAAAUUGUGAUGUAAAUGUAUCUAAAUAAUGUGAAUGCUUGUAAUAGCAAGUAGGUUAUACUUCCUUAUGCAAUCUUUGAUUGAAAUGUGUUCCUGAUUGGAACUUCGUACAUUAUAUUGAUUGCGACGCUUUGAAUGUACAGGGGAGACUCUGUCCGCGGUACAGAAAAAAUCCUGUCCGUUCGGCGGUCUGUCGGCGUGCCCGAAACCAACCAAAUAGGCGGGCUCGGGGCGUGACAGAUAAGAUGGUAUCAGAGCAUAAAAAGAAACAUAAAAAGAAUAAUAGAAAAUGGUUUAGUUGGAACUAGGAGACCCUAGGAUAGCAAACCAUAGGAGAUUAAGGCUCGUGAGAGACAAGAACUUGUGACAAUUGGCGAAAGAUAAAUUGAUUGGGUUGUGUCGUAAACCUCUAAAAUGGAUGUUAGAGAUAGAUUCAAGGUGUGGUUUAUUCUCAACCGAUGGUGUUCGUGUUGGGCGCGCACAACACGAAACCGAGUGAUGAGAAUAGACGUCCUUGCGUGGCUUUCGCCCGAUUUGAGUCGGUAUUAGGUGUCUCGUGUUCGACCUAGAGGGUCGAGGAUUAAUAAAGUUGUCGUGUUUUAGGAAGCGAUAGCACCGCGUAGGCGAUCUUCAUUUAGAUCGGCGCGGGAUGGGCCGAGUGGUGUCCCUGGGCAAUUUGAGGCGAGCGGAGAUUGGGAACUUCGCGAGUGUUGGCGUCUCUCAUGAUCUUUGAGAAAUUAACGGAAUCCUCGCCGUGUUAGAUCACUUUUGGUCAGAUUGACCCAAGUGCGUCGAGAGAAGUAGUUGGACAAAGUCCAAUUGACAUUCCAACAAUGUUGGAAGGGUUAAAAUUGAGUUCUAAAAGAGUUAGAAAGGUUUUAGCGUUGCUCGGCGUGAAUUGGAGUCGAAGCGGUGCAAAAUCGAAAUUCUGGAACAUGUGUUACCGAUUUAACCCCAGGGGUGUACCAGUAUAGUAUGGUUGUAACGAAGUAAAUUCUCAAGAGUCGAGAGUUGGACUUCGACCAGGAUCAGCUAGUUGUCGAGUGGGUAUGUAAUAUACCGAAACUUCGAUAACCAAGCAUCGAACUUUAGUCAAAUUGGCCAAAGUGCGAGGUUGGUACACUUCGGAAAGGCCGAAGGCGUCAAAUAAUGCAAAAGUGCAUUACUGGGGAUCUUCGAGAGCUUUGUAAAUCAAAAUCUGCAAGACUGCAGGUUUUGUGCUCUCGGGGACCGGUCCCAGGUCGGGAAGACCGGUCCCCGAACGCGCAGGCAGCAAGAGGAGAGAAAAAUCGGCUAUGUUCCCGGUGGACAGCUCUCGGGAACCGGUCCCUGCGGGUAGAGACCGGUCCCCAAGAGACCGGUCCCAUCAGGGGAGACCGGUUGCCUCGUGCGUAGGUUGCGCAGACCGCGGGAGAAGCUCUCGGGGACCGGUCCCAGGCAGGGAGAGACCGGUCCCUCAGCACGAAAAUUGCCCAGUUUGGGCAGUGCACUGGAUAGAAAGUGGGAGGGCCUAUUUGCAAAUAUUGCAACAUGUUAUGUGCCUUAUCCCUCUCUCUCCCACAGCGGUGUGAGCUACGAGAGGGCGUUGAGGACAAUGCAACCUAAAGGUUCGCGGCGAGCGCCGGGUGGUCGUAGAUACACGACCCUGGUUGAGGAACCUGCUGCUGACGACGUCGUUGCAGGUAUGAGUUAUUGAUGCAAGCAUAUGUUUUGCAAGAUCUGAAGUUGAUGCAUUGCAUGCAAUGGUUAUGUGGUUAAUCACUAUUGUCAUGCAUGAGCAUAGUAGAGACCGAGUGGAUGGGUAAAUAUAGAUAUUCGGGCAUGCUCGUGUUGUAAGGGCGCAGUAUCUGCCAGUACAGGUAUAGAGCCAGAUGGCAUUAGCGAAGUGCUAGAAGUAAUUUAUGGCGAGAAGUGAGACUCGCGGUAGAGAUAGAAGUGGCGAAAUGACUCUCAGAGCAAUAUGAGUUGUAAAUUGCGAGAGUUGAGCCAUGAUGCUUAUGAGAACACCCGAGUGGCUCGAAAAUUUCGGAUGUCAUUCCGGUAGAUCGAACAGUGAAAGUAACAUCACUGUUGAGAGAAAAGCCGAUUAGUGGCCAAGUUUGAGCACGUGGGCCUAGUAGUACCUCAAGGUGAGGUAGGCAGUUGUGCUCGUGCAGCCGGUGUGCAUAGGCAAGAUUGCCUAAUGCUGGACUUCGUGUGGAACGCUGUAGAGGCGUAGAGCGCUCGAGUGUAGAAACCCGUAGAGUGCGGAUGUGGAUUCAGCCGAGAAAGUGUAUUGGCAGUAGCACUUGAGCAUUGCUAGGUGUGAAGCGUGUCAUGGAUCACUCGUGGGACUGGUGACUCGCAUUAGGUGCAUAGUAGCCGGUAGUGAUACGUGUACUCGGUAGAGCAUGUCGUGUAGGACGACGACGGCGGGUAGUGCUUAGGGACGACCCGUGCAUGGAACAUUUGUGGACUGUAGAGCCUGGGCCCUUUGGGCAGGCGCAGUCAGCUGUGAGUGACAGCGGCCCGGUACCUACGGGUAGGGCAGAGUUCUGAUCAGGACGGUAGUCCGAGUUUAGGCCCGGGAGCGUGGAAUGCCACGCGAUAGAUUGUGUGACCGAUGGUACACCGAGUAUGGUUGUGACCCAACCCGAGCACUUGACGUGGUUUGGGAUCUUAGUUGCUCCUGAUUGGAGUGUGUGCGAAUUUCCAAGUGAGAAUUUCGCCCGAUCAUGAUUGGGUCUGCAUUUGCGAGCGAGAGACGCUGCAUAUUGAGACGGGUUUAGGUGGUAGGCCUACAUAGGAUUGGUGGCCUUUGGUCCACCCGUGGAGACCGACGAGAGCGAUUUGGCAUAUAUCCUUAUCGAGGAGUUUGACUCGAAUUCACGAACGGAGUGCUUGCGUGAGCUCGUUGCGAAAAUAGUUUGAUGUUCAUCGUGGCAUGUGGUAUCAGAUGAUGAAGUACUCAUUGUGAGACAUCAAAUGAGUAGAAAGCCACGUGAUGUUGGAGAUUAUGGUCGUAAGGGAACUAAGACUUGAGAGGUGCCGAAUUGGGCCAUCUCACGUUAAAGUUAAGGGUCAGUGCGAAAUUAGAGCACUCAUAAUGGAGCGAUGCAUCGGUGAUAUUGCUUUUAAGCAAUGUCGGUGAUCGAAUCAGAACGUAUUCCCUGAAGGGAAGGUAAGUGCAAAGAAGAGUUCCUUGUGUACCGAAUGGCGAGUGGUGUUGGAGCGCGUAGAGUCGUCGAGUAUCGACUUGCGCUGCCACUAUGACUUGCAAGACCCGUGUUGUACUUUUGUAUCACACUUUGUAAAUGUGUUCAGGAUUAAAUCCACGUCCUUCAGUAUGAGCCGGUUCUGGAACAACGACUGUGUGAAGCCGCUUUGGAGUGGGAGAAUGAGUUGGUACUCACGGAGCUGAAUUGAGGCGUGGUUUGAAUUUCGCGGACGAAAUUCUUUUAAGGGGUGGAGAAUGUAACAUGCCAGAUUUUGGUAUAAAAAUAAAAAUAAAUAAAAAUAGUGUGAUAAACUAUUUUUAUUGAAUUUAGAGAAGUAAAACAUAAGUCAGAAGUGACUUGUGCUGAAAUCGGAAUGAAAACAGAAGAUUUAGAAUUUUAUGUUGGAAACGGGACAGGUAAAUUAGCAGAAAAUGCACAGUCUCAGAAAAUUAUGAAAAUUGGAGGAUAAGUCAAAAAUAUUUUUAUGAGGCUAGAUUUCAAGUUUCAUAUUUUUCUGACACCCGUAGAGUGAGAAAUAAAAUCCGACAGCUAUCUGAUAAAGAUUACAGUUCGGUACAGUUUUCAGUGGCCAAAUGGGGUCGAAACUGAAAACUUAAAAUAUAUUCUUACUCAGUACGUAAAACCAAAUAUGACUGUCAAGUUUGAGCUCAAACGGACAUUCAGGGAGUUCCGGCGAAAGUUAUCAGAUUUCAAGCUGCUUGGAAGUGAAUAGUGUUGGGGUGUAAUUAAAAUAGAAGCUCUUGGCUUCUUCUUCCCCAACCAGCCGCACACACACACCCGCACGCCACACACACACGCAUGGAAAGAGGGAGAAAGAGAAACCUCCCAUUUUCUCUUUAAAUCUCUCCCAAAAUUGAUGAAUUUGGUGGAGAAGCAAGCUUGGAGGUUGAUCUUCAUCUCCUUUAUCUUCUUCCUCUCCAUUAGAGCAAGUUUUGAAGGUAAGUUUCAAAACCCUUUAAUGGUAUUUCUCUCUAAUUUGGUUUUUAAGCUCUAAGAAUGGGUUUAGAGGUAUUCUAGCAUGCUAAUUAGAGAUUUGAUGCUUGAAACCAAGGCCCUAAUGGUGGGUUUUUACCUAAUAGUAAACCUAGGGCUCAAAAAUGCUAGUUUUGUAAAUAUGAGGGUUUGAUCUCAUUUGACCCUCCGUAAACCUAAUUGCUAGGUAAACGAACGCGUUGGCGAAGACGGUUCGGCGAUUCGUCGAGCCGUUGCGAAGUUAUUAAAGAAACGGACGUUUAGGCUUCGUUUCCGCCUGGAGGGCCGAGGCGACAUUGUAAACCCAUGAAAUCGGAUUUGAAGUAUCGUGGCACACAACCGAAGACCUUUAAUUUUCGGAUCGUGAAUUAGAGGCCGUUCGGAUGGUCGCGCGAGAGAUCGGGCCAAACCGGGUGCCGGGUGCCACGGGAGGCCGAUUGCAAGUGUCGACAAGCAAUCGGAAUGCGAAAUAAGGUGGGUUGUGCUUACCGAAGCGACUAGGUCGCCUGUAUGUCUAAGAGAAAUGAGAUUUCAUAUUGAUGCAUAUUGACAUAAUGUAAGAAUGUGAAAAGAAUGCAUGUUAACAUACUACAGAAAUGCUAGAUAAAUGCAUAUGAUUAAUGCUUUGAAUGCAUAAUAUAAAGGGCGUAUGAAUGUUAGCAUUAUAAGAACAUCAUAAAAGGAAUCUAUGAUGACAUGUUGUAGAAUAUGCUAAAUGUAAUGCAUAAUGAAUUAAGUGCUAAAAGAAUGCAUGAGAUGCUAAGUAUGGACUAUUUUGGAUAAUGACUAUAUGUAUGCUGACAUAUCAUGUGAUGCUAGUGGUAUAUGUGCAUGAUGAUAUAUUAUGAAUUUACAUAUUGUGGAUUAUGUUAAAUAGAAAAACAUACUUGAUGACAUAUUGCCAUGUGGUGGAACAUAGUGGACAAUCUACAUAUAUAUUAGAUCGAGUGGCAUUAAACCUUGUAUCUUGAACCUAGCAAACACUUGUGGUGAUUGAGCAUGUAUAUUCUGGUGUCAUUCAUGUAUGUUAGGACCCUAUUAUUGUGUGAAUGUGAGAGUCGGACUUGGACAAUAGUAAACAAGGGUGACAAUGAAAAUAGAGACAUGAUUGGCAUCAAGAAAGUGGUUGUUAAAUAUAGUUUAACCAUUUUGACAUUGGUCCAAGUUGACAUAGAGAGUGGCAAGAAUGAAUAGGUAGAGACCUAUCAUGACAUUGGCAUUGUGAAUAGUGGCUAUGAAUCCUCAAGUUGAGGAUUGGAUCGAUACUCAUGAUACGUCUUGGCUUGAGGGAGGUAGCUCCCCCUCGGGCGGUGCGCUCCGGAGUUGGUCACCACUGGGCGUGGUAAAGUCCCCCCAGAUGACGGUCCCCAGGGAGGUUCGAGUCCCCCGCUAUUAAGGGAUUUUGGGUGGUGAGUUAUUGGGGUUAACAUGGUUAACCGGUAAGAUUGGGUCAUAGCCAAAUGAAAGUACAAUAAGUAUGCAUUAUGAGUUAUGGACUUGGUAUCCCAGUCGAGAGGAUUUAGGGCUGAGGUGUAUGUGAGACGUCCAUCACCUCGAGCCUAGUUCUAGUACUGUACUCCGCAGACGAUUGACUCAAGACCGAGUCGGGUGGUUAGCCUUGUAAAGGUAGAUGAAUCUUUAUGAUUAAAAUGGGAUUGACAAGAAUCUAAGAUAGAGGAACCUUAGAUAUCAAACGGAUGAGCUAUGGUUAGCAGAAUUGAAAGUAGUAUCGAAUGAACUACUAGUUGGUUGCAUAGUUGCAUUAUUGCAUGAUUUGCAUAUAGCAUUGCAUUAUUGCAUUCGUGAGGCAAUGCAUGGUUUUAUUCGUUGCAUAAUCAAGAUAUAUAUAUAUCUAUCUGUUUAUUGAACUAACUUGCAGUUGCCUCCUUUGAACCUAUUGGUCGAGCUUUUCCCUUGGGUGGCCGUACCCACUGGGAACCAUGGAGUUGGUUCUCACCCCACGUGGUUUUGGGGUGUUAUAGGUUCACACGUGAGCGGCGCGGUGGUGCGAGGCGAGGGCGUAGCUCCAUAGUUAGCACCCUAUCACCGAGACCAGAGAUAGUAGUACCCUGAGCCGGCUUUACUUAGGAAUGUAAGAAAAUGAAAGGAAUAAGAUUGUAAUAAUUUGUAAUAAAAGCAUGAUUGUAUUUGGAAGUUAAAUGUAUAAUGAAAUUGUGAUGUAAAAUGUAUCUAAAUAAUGUGAAUGCUUGUAAUAGCAAGUAGGUUAUGUUUUUGAUACUUCCUUAUGCAAUCUUUAAUUGAAAUGUGUUCCUGGUUGGAACUUCGUACAUUGUAUUGAUUGCGAUGCCUUGAAUGUACAGGGGAGACUCUGUCCGCGGUACAGAAAAAACCCUGUCCGUUCGGUGGUCUGUCGGUGUGACAUCGACGCUCAACGACUCUCCCUGCUCCAACCCCACUUGCUACCGAAUCCAAGGAGUACACUUCGAUUCGAUCACCGGCAUUGCCUAGAAGCAAUAUCAUUGGUGCAUCGACCCAUCGCAAGUGCUACAAUCACAAUCGGAUCUUUGCUCUACAUGGAGAAGGCAUACUCCGGCACAUCUCCCGUCUCAAUCCUCAAAAGAGCAUCAUCCUCAAACUGCUUGGCUAUCCGGUAUUCAAGUGUCUCCAAGAGACCACUUUACUUUCUCUUUCAGUCGCCACAACCAACGUCAAAUUGCUCUACAACGAGCUCAAUGUCUCACUAGAGCAUUUUAUCCUUUGCCAUCAUAAGCCAUGACCAACUCAACUUCGCCUCUACAACGAGCUCACACGAACACUCUUCGUGAAUCUAUGCCAACUCACUAGCUAAGUUACCUGCCAAACCGCUCGUCUCGGCUUCCAUGGGUGGACCAAUGGUCACCAACUCGACGUAGGUCUACCGCCUAAAUCUGUCGCAACCCGCGCGUCUCUCGCUUGCAAGCGUAGACCCAAUCAGCACUGGGUGACAUUUUUAUUGGAGAAUUCGCACACACUCCAGCCAGGAGCAACUAAGACCCCAAACUGCAUCAAAUCCUCAAGUUGGGUCACUACACACUCGGUGUAUUCUCGAUCUAGCGAUCCAACACGUGGCAUUCCACUGUCUCGGGUCUCAGCUCGGACUACUGUCCUGACCAAAACACUGCCCUACCCGCAGGUAUCGGGCCGCCGCCACUCACAGCUGACUGCGCCUGCCCAAUGGGGCCAGGCUUCACAGUCCACAAAUAGUCCAGGCACAGGUCGUCCCCAAGCAAUACUCGUCGUCGUCGUCCUACACGACAUGCUCUACCGAGUCACACGUACCACUAUCGGCUCCUAAGCACCUAGUGCGAGCCGCCAGCCCUACGAGUGAUCCAUGGCCCACUUCACACUUAGCAAUGCUAUAGUGCUAUUGUCAACACACUCUCCCGGCUGAAUAAAAUUCGCACUCCCCGAGUAUCUACACUUGAGCGCUCUACCCCUCUACAGCGUUCCACACGAAGUCCAGCUUUAGGCAAUCUUGCCUAUGCACACCGGCCGUACGAGCAUAACCGCCUACCUCACCAUGAGGUACUAUUAGGCCCACGUGCUCAAACUUGGCCACUAAUCGACCGUUCUCUCAACAGUGAUUCUACUUUCAGCGUCCAAUCUACCGGAACAAUAUCCGAAAUUCUCGGAUUACUCGGGUGCCUACAAGUAUCAUGGCUCAACUCUCGCAAUCUACUAAUCACGUUGCCUUGAGAGUCGCUUCGCCACCUCAUCUCUACCACGAGUCUUAUUUCUCGUCCAAGAAUCAUUACUAGCAAUCCGCUAGUGCCAUUCGGCUCUCUACCUGCUCCAGCAGGCGCUACCUUCUCAUUGCAUGAGCAUGCCCGGGCAUCUACACUUACCCGUCACCGGGUCCCUACUAUACUGAUUCAUAAAUAGUAGCAACUGACCCCACGACAAACGCAUGCAAUGCAUCAACUUGACAUCGUGCAGAAGCACAAGUCUACUCUGAUGAACUCAUACUUGCCAUGACGUUGUCAGUAGCAGUAGGUUUCACAACCUCGGUCGCGUAUCCAUGGUCACUUGGCGGCCGCCGCGAACCCUCUGGUCGACAUACUCUCUUCGCUCGCUAUCCAGACCAUGCCGCAAGUGACACACACGCAGGUUGUCCAGGAGAGGAGAAGGCCGUCGCUAACGCCGAAGUCUGGCCAUUCACAACGAAUGCACAUCUCAUCAUGCAACGUACAUCGCCACGCCCAGUGAGAACUUCUACAAUCCCACGUCCCGAAGAAGUUUAACAGAAGACACUUCUGGGGUUCGGGAUUGCGUCUGCAACCCAAGAAGGUGCACUGCCCAAACUGGGCAACUUCGGGGGACGGGGACCGGUCUCUCAAGAGGGGACUAGUCCCCGAGAGCAAUCUCUCGGGUAAAAGGGCACUUGCCCGAUUCUCUCCGCGUACGGGGACCAGUCUCUCAUUGCAGGGACCGGUCCCCGAGAGCAAGAUAACACAAAAUAGGCCUCUGCUACUCUUUUCAAGUGUACGGGGACCGGUCUCUCCCCAGAGGGACCGGUCCUCGAGAGCAGAAAUGGCUGGGUAGCCCUUUUUGUUGCCUUCCACGCCUACGGGGUUCGGUCCCUCACCACAAGGACCGGUCCCCGAGAGCUAAAACUGCACUUUGCAGUUUUCCUCCCAGCUUGCUCUCGGAGGUCGCCAACAAUGCACCUUUUGCAUUUUGACCUCUUUGGCCUCACCGAAGCAUACUAACACGACUCUUGGUCGAUUCUACACGAAGUCCAAUCCUCGUAUUUCGAGAAUCACUUCUUACAUGCACAACCUUGAAAAUGUUCGGCCGAAGUCUCCACACAAACGAAUCGGCCACAUCCUCGUCAUCCCGCACUACAUUCGGGACGCAACUCAUGGUACGAGGGAAUUCCCGUUCGUAUUCCCUCACGGUGCGGUCUACCUACCGCAGCUUCGGGAACCUUUCUUGAAGCUUCCUCUUUUCACUGUCGGGAAAAUAAUCGGAGAAUAUUCAUCCCCGAAAUCCUUCCCGAGUCAUAGGAGGGAGGCUAGGCGAUCAAUUUCGCUUAACGCCAUUCCACCACACCUUCACCGACUGUUGUAAGCAAUGCACGGCUAGGUGUACCUUGUCCCACUCUGCGACGCACAGAUUCUCAAAGGAGUUCUAUGGAGUCGAUCCACAACUCCACUAUCCACGAAUCUGCAUCCUCUCCAUUCAAGAUAGGUAGAUCAAACUGUUUAAAGGUCAUGAGGGCCGCCAAAGCUCGCACCCUCACUGCCUCCAUCUCUGAACUGAUACGAAUCGAAUUGCCCGACCCCGACGGAAACACCUCCGCCGCGACUCCCGGCCAUACUUGACGAGCCUAAACUGGUGCGGUCACCAAUCGACCAACCGUUUCUUGGAGUCCCUUAAUCCGCUCCUCCUGGCGCAAGACAGCCUCCUGCUGUCGUUGCACCACUUCAGCUCGUUGCCUCGCCACUCCUACGAGUGGCCAACCGCUCGCGAAGUCCCAAGUCUCCGCUCGCCUCGGAUUGCUCAAGGACACCACUUGUUCCAUCCCGCGCCGAUCUACACGAAGAUCGCCUACGCGGUGCCAUCGUUUCUUGAAUCGCGACAACACGGUCAGUCUCGACCCUCCAGGGCGAACACGUAACAACUAACAUCGGCUCGACUCAAAUCGGGCGAAAGUCACGCAAGGACGUCUAUUCUCAUCCCUCGGUUUCAUGUUGUCGAUUGCCUAACAUGAACACACUUGGUCGAGAAUAAGUCACACGUUGAGUCUACCUCUAACAUCCAUUUUAGAGGUUUAAUAAACUUGACCCAAUCGAUCAACUUCCGCCACCGUAUAGGUUCACGUCACUCACGCACCUAUGGCCUUAAGGUUUACCAACCUAGGAUCUCCUAGGUCAAUCCUAGACUCUCUCUUUACUUGCUCUUAACUUGCUCUGAUACCACAACUAUCUGUCACGCCCCGCGACCCGCCAAUUUGGUCAGAUCAGGGGCGUCGAUCAGACGUCGAACAGACAACACCUCCCCUGUCCGCCCAAGGCUAGAACAACAAGAUCAUGUACAAGAAUUGCCCAGGAAAAUUCAUUCAACAUACAUGAUCAAUACGAAGCACCACAAGUGCUAUACAAUUAAGAGCAAGAAUCACAAGUAUCAUACAAGUGAAAUAAAGAGAGAUACAUCUAGCUAUUACAUCGCAUUUAACCAUUACACAUUGAUUUAUAUUUUCAUCUUCCAAAAUGAAUACAUAUUCUUCUCAUAAUACAAAAUGGCUCUCCAAAUACAUAAGUAACUCUCAAAUACAUCAUAUUUCUACGUACACGAGAGUACUCUAAUGCAUAAGGAAGCUACUAGCUACUAGAGCGCUAUGCCCUUACCACGGUCCCUUGCCGGUACGCUCUCGCUAGGCCCUCCAACAAAGUGGGGUGAGAACUAUAUAAAUAUAGUUCCCAGUGGGUUUGGCUGCCGACUUCGCUGAUCUUCCCACUAGGUCCAAGCAGGCACAAGCAGAUAGAUAGAUAGAUAGAUAUGAAAUUGAAGUGCAACAUAGUAAAGUAAUCUGCAACAAUCUACUAUACUUUCAAUAAUCAAGGAUAUGAGCUACAACAUAGUAUAUGAUCUAUGCCUCAAUGAUCCGAUGUAUGAGCAACUACAUAGUAUGCAAUCUACACAUUCUACUAUGCCUCAACAAUAAUGAAAAUGAGCUACUAUAUAGUAAUGUAAACUAUACAUGAUACUAUGCCUCAACAAUAAAAAAAAUGAGCUACUACAUAGUAUGCAAACUACACAUGAUACUAUGCCUCAACAAUAAAAGAAAUGAGCUACUACAUAGUAUGCAAACUACACAUGAUACUAUGCCCAACAAUAAUGGAAAUGAGCUACUACAUAGUAAUGUAUCCUGCAACAUGCUACUAUGCCUCAAAUAUCCGAAUGCCAUAUCCAAGUGAAAUGCAUGAGCUACUACAUACACUGCAACAAAAACGGUCUAUAGCGUCACUUUUAAAUGUCGGUAUAAGUCAAAAAAAGUGCUGCUGGCUAAAUUACCGACACUUUUAAAAAGUGUUGCUAUAUGUGGGGUCGCUAGGUAUAUAGUGACAGUUAAAGAGUGUCGUUAUAAUCUAAAAGAGUGCUGCUAAUUUACGAAUAUUUAUUUAAGUAUCUAGCAGCCACCGAAACUCUACCUCGUUGACUGCGGUGGUGGAGGAGACGAGAGGAAGGGAUCUUCGUCUAGAAUUUCAGUCAAUUGAGUGAGAGAAGAAGGAGAAAUGGUAAUCGAUUUUUCUUUCCUUUUUCUUUUAUUUUUUUUUUCUGUUUGUAAUCGAGCUGAAUGGGCUCGGUGGGGUGGGUUGGGUAGAGUAUCUUUCUAUUUUUGGUUGGAUUAGACUUUAAAUUUAGGCAUUAGUAGGUUUUUUUUAAUUUUUGACAUAAAUAUGACACUUACACAAAAGUGUCCCAAACAUGUAUCCCUAUAACCAAAUUCUGUUGUAGUGAUAGUAUACAAUCUACACAUGAUACUAUGCCUCAAAUAAUCACAUGAAUGAACGAGCUACUACAUAGUGCGUCAUGCAACUAUGCCUCGAUAAUAUCUAAUCUCAUGGCCAACCCGAAGGUUGCCGACUCACUCUCAAUCUCAUAGGUGAGGAGAAACUACACUCGCACACUGAGACCGUCUGCGGGACAACUACGUCUGCCCCUAUAUGAAGUACUCCGGAGACCACUGCUUCGGUGGAGCGACCACCGACAAGCAAAAACAGACUAGUGAGUAUGAUCCAAUCCUCACAAGAGGAUACCCUAUCUACUAGGGUCAUGGUGCCUCUACUGCACUAAUGCCAAUGCAUAAUGUCCACAACAUGACAAUUGAAAAAAUCUACUAUCCAUAGGUUCAAAUGCCAUAGUGUUCCACUAAACUAGAUUUGAUGCCACUCAUUUAUGUCAUGAUGUUAUAUGUCUCGAUACACUAAAUUGACAUGCCACUCGUUCUUGUUAUAGUGUCUCUAUUAUACUAAUCCAUAUACCACUCAAUAUGUCAUGAGGUUGUAUGUGUCUCAAUACACUAAAUUGACAUGCCACCCGUUCACAUUAUAGUAUCUUUACUAUACUAAUUUGAAUGCCACUUGUUUUCAUCAUCACAAGUCUAAGUUCAUCAUCAUUCGUGUCACUAUAGGAUUCUUGUCACAUGACCCAAUCCUCAUGCAACCUAAGUUCAAGUGUCAAGCCCACAAUGCUACACUACUAUAGGAAACAUGUAAGGAAACAGAAUGUAAUCAUCUACUAAUCCUAUAAUGCACACUAUCAAUAUAUGAAUAUGAUUAAAAUAGAACUUAGACAUAAAAGGAAGUCCGGUUGCUUCGGGAUGGACACCCCCCACCUUUUAUCGUGUUCCGAUUGCUCGUAGUCACUUGCAAUCGGCCUCCCGCGGCACCCCCCGCCCGGUUCGGCCCAAUCUCACGCUCGACCACCGAACGACCACCAAUCCGUAAUCCAAAAAUUAAAGAUCUAUAACUUGAUGCCACGAUGCUACGAUCUUUAUCUCAUAAUUUUUGGAUGCCUCCUCGGCCCUCUAGGCGGAAAUGAAGCUCUAACAGUCCAUUUUCUUAAUAUCUUCGCGUAGGCUCGACGAAUGCUCAAACCGAGUGCACGAACGCGUUCGGAGACCUAACAAUUAGGUUAGAGAAGGGUCAAUUGAGAUCAAAACCCCUGAUGAGCAAAAGCCCUCUUUUUGGAGCCCUAAAUUACCAUUGUUGCAAUUAGCUUCAUACAAGCUACUAUUCUUGCAAUAAAUGAGAUUAACUACUCUUAGAGCACCAUUAAAUUCCAUUUCUAAGGUAUUUAAACCUAAUCCAAGCCAUUCACCAUGAGAGGGGUUCAAAACCUUACCUCUACUAAGCUUUUCCCCAAGCAAAAGGAAGAAGAAGAUGAAGAAGGUGAUGGAGCUUCUCCUUCUAGCUCCAAAUCUCCACCAAUCCUCCCUCUUGAUCCAUUUCUAGAGAGAGAGGAAGAGCUUUUAGAGAGAGAGGAAGAGAGUGUUUUAGUGUUUGGGUUGAGAGAAAAUGAGAGGAGAGGUCUCAUAUCACCUCUAUACAACCUUCACUAAUGCAGAAUUGCAAGAAACCCCCUCAACUUUGUGUUUUAUGCACUGCCUGCGCGGGGCCUUUUUUGUAUAGGGGACCGGUCCCUGGCAAUGAGAGACCGGUCCCCGAAGGUCCAGAAUUCCAGCAUUUUUAGGACUUAGCCAAAUUUCAGCCUUUUUCGUUUUCGGGGUCCGUUUUCCUUCGUUUCGCUCGUUUAACAUCCGAUUCUUUUCAAAUCGAACCGAGACUCUCCAGACAUGAUUCCGAGCGUAUUUUCAUCAUCUUUUCAUCCGCGCUAAUGCUGGAUUUAGUCCAUGGUCCAACAUAGCCUUUGGGUCCCGUUUUCGCGCCUACGCGCUCCGAAAACGCCCGAAUGCUUUCGAACUUCACCGGAAUCAUUCUAAUAGCUUUCCAAACCAACAUACCCUGCAACUUCAUAAUUUUAGAAGUUCGGUACCUUGUAAAAGUCGCUCCCACUAUCCCCAGGAGGUAUCGGAGUCGCCUCCUCUACCUCAACUGAGCGAAUAGAAGCGCCAAUACCAGAGUCAUCCAUCUCAUGGAGCUCAAUUUCAUUUCGAACCUCACUUUUAUAAGGAAAAUCCUCCUCGAGGAAUUCAACAUUUCGUGACUCAAUCUCAGUCAAACUUCCAUCUGGCUGCUUUCCGAUGAACACGUAUCCCUUAGAGUGUUUAGGGUAUCUUAUAAAUAUACACUUCUUUCCUCUAGGACCCAACUUCCCAUACUUGUGAGAAGUGUUGUGCACGUAAGUUGCCGAACCCCAAGGACGCAUGUGCUCCAAAUUUAUUUUCCUGCCUGUCCAUAAUUCAUAAAGAGUGAAAAGUACUGUCUUGGAGGGUACACGAUUAAGAAUGUAGGCAGCAGUUAACAAUGCUCUCCCCAAAAGGAGAUAGGCAAAUUUGCUUGCGCCAUCAUUGACCUAACCAUGUCAAGUAAGGUGCGAUUUCUUCUCUCUGCUACACCAUUUUGCUGCGCAGUGCCAAGAAUUGUCAGCUGUCUGAUUAUUCCCUUUUCAUCAUAUAAUUUUUUUAAUUGUUCAGAUAGAUACUCGCGGCCUCGAUCAGUUCUUAAGGUUUUAAUUGUCAUAUCUAACUGAUUCUCAACCUCAUUAAUAUAACGUUUAAAACAAUCCAAUGCUUCAGACUUAUGGGAGAUCAGAUAAACAUGACCGAAGCUCGUAUGGUCAUCUAUAAAUGUAAUGAAGUAAAAAGCACCAUGUCUUGCCCUUACACUCAUUGGGCCACAAAUGUCGGAAUGGAUCAAUUGUAAAGAAAAUUUUGCCCUAGAAGCUUUAUUAAAUGAUUUUCAGGUCACUUUUCCCACUAAACAAUGUUCACAUGUGGGCAGGUAGACUUUAGUGAGCGAGCUCAAUAACCAAGGCGUGCAUGCCAUUUAAUUGAAAUAUUGUGAUCAUUCUCAACAGAAGAUAGCAAGAAAAAAGAACCACUACCAUUAUUAUUAUAAUCAAUGUCCAAAAUCAUAAAACCAUUUGAAAUAAAACCUCUUUCAUAAUAAAUAGUUCCAAGAUGAAUCUUAACUACAUCAUUCUCAAAGCGAAAAGAAAAGCCUAACUGUAGCAUAGAAAGAAUAGAAAACAAGUUCCGCCGAAUUCCUGCAGCAUAAAGUAUAUAAUGUAGGUACAAAAUUCGACCACCUUGCAUGAUCAACUUGUACGUGCCAAUGCCUAAUACAUCGACACUAGAAUCGUUCCCCAUGUAUGCUCUUCUACUCCCAACAGGCACACGACGGUACACGACGAAUCCCAUCCGAUCCCUUGCUACGUGGUUUGUUGCUCCUGAGUCUACAAUCCACACAGGGAGAGAUUCAGCAACAAACGUGUUAGAAGAAACAAAAGAGCGAGAAUCAGGAUAGAGAGGUACCUUCUUCGGCUCAGUGCAAUCACGAGCGAAGUGUCCCAGCUGGUUACAAUUAAAACAGGUCAUCUUCGACUUGUCUUUCUUGCCAUCUCAUUUGCUUCUCUUUCUUUUAGUGUUCUUCGCGUUCUUUGGCGUGGAUCCGCUACAAUUUCGAGGCCCGGUAGUCCUCUUUCGCUUGAACCCAGAUGUUUUGCGAAAGUUUGACUCAGCAGCAUUGGCAGUUGGGGUUUUAACAGCAUCAAGGCGCUCUUCCUCCAACUCCAGAUGCCGCGCAACAUCCUCAAAAGUUUUGAUAUUUUCAUUAUGUGUCAAAUUUACUCGCAUAUGUUCUCACGAAUUGGGAAGUGAGCGAAUCAUAGCUUGGAUCUGCUGCUCAUCAGUUAAGGUGCCGCCAGCCAACUUUAACUCGUGAAUCAUGUUUGACAUUAUUCUCACGUGUUGUUUCAUAGUCUAAUCGGCACGCUUCUUAUAACUGUCAAACCGCAUAGUGAGACUGCGCAACCUUCUGGUCGAAGUCGCACCAAAUUUAGCUUUGAGAGCCUCCCACAUGUCAUACGCAGUCGGAUACUGCUCAUACUCGCACAAGAGAUCAUUCUGCAUACCGCUCAACAACGUGAUGUGAGUAAUGCAAUCUUUUUUAAGCCAAUUAUUAUAGGCUUCCAUAUCUCGGCAAGCCUGGGCACUAGUGCCCUCUGUGGGUUGGUCUAUUUAUUACUCAAGUUUUCUAGAACUUCUUGCUCGGCGAGAACAUAUUGAAUUUUACGGUGCCAAAUAUCAUAACUGUCACCAUCCAAUUUCUUGCCUUUGAUUAAAUCCGCAACAACUUAUUUGGAGGCCAUUGAAUCUCACUAAGUUCACACAAUGUGAAGAAAAAGAUAUUUUAAAAUUAGCACACGAUACAUGUAAUAAACUGAAAAUUUGAGUUGCGAUGCUAACUUUCAUCUGGAAGAUCAAAGUGAAGUUUGAAUUGGAUGUGCAUCAUUUCAGAGUGUUUCUAGACGUGUGGGAAUGAACUUUGGGGUUAAUUGAGUGUUUCGGUGCAAAUUGUGCGCGAAAAUGAAUUUGAAUGAAAAUUUUCGGAGGAUGAGGUUUAUUUUGAUUCAAUUGCUCAAAGAGAAGCAAUAAUGUAAAUUGUGGUAUUCCCGAGUUAAUUGGAGGCUUGGGGAUAGUUAAUCAUGAGUUUGGAAGGGGUUUAGAGAUAUUCGGAAUUGUAAUAUAUCAAGUUUCCAAUUACAUUGCUAAUCUUGAUCAAAUUGAUUAAGAUAAUGCAAAAAAUAAAAUUGGUUUAUUCCCGAGCUUAAUUGGUAGCUUUGGCAUAGUGUUUAGUAUGUUUUGGAGGUGUUUGAUGGACUCGGAGUGAACUAGACGCGAAAAAGGGGCUGAAAACUGCUGCUGCCAGCUGCUGUUUAGUGCAGAGACUAUUUUGUAAACCUGUAGGGGCUGUUUUGUAAACUGCAUGUCACGCCCCGGGACCGAUACCAAUUUGGGCUGGUCCGAGCACGUAAAACAGACGCCGAACGGACAGAGUUUCCCCUGUCCGCCCAAGGCUCAUCACAUGUACAUUUUCAACAAAGAAGUGCACUAGCGGAAACAUACAAUUACGGCUUACACGAGGGAAAGCAAUAGUCACGAGUGAAAGAAAAGGAAACUAGCAUUCAUUUUGUACUAUGAUUCAAUUUAGAUCAUAAACAUUACCAUCAACUUGUACAAUUUACGAUACAUUACAUUUCACUACAUCAUUUCAUCAUUUCUUUCUUACAUCACAUUUACCCCAAAAUGAUGCUUUACAUUCUUUUCUUUACAUCAUUUAUCAUUAAGUACAAAAGAUGAUCAUAGGGUACUUUACUACAAAAUGUGAACCCAACUCUAGUGGCCUCUGCCUAAGGCGCGAUACCUUUACCUCGGUCGCUCGCCGGCUCGCUCGGUCCCGGCUUUGUGGAAUAGUGGGGUGAGAACUACAACAAAGUUCCCAAUGGGUUCGGCCUCAAUAUCACCGACUUUUCUACUAGGACUAACUCAGGCAUAAUAGAAAGGAAAAGCUGCAUAUCGUAAUGUAACACACUGGACCUUUGCAAAUUGCGAGGUUCGAGUGAUUGGAUGUGUUUCGAGCUUUUCUACACUUGGUGGAGGGUCGUAGAAUGUUUUCCGAUCCAAAAAGUACGAAAACUUGAGUUUUGGACGAAACCUGAGAGUUUUUACUCUCGGGGACCGGUCUCUGAUUGGAGAGACCGGUCCCCCAGUGAACAGUGUUGCGCAGCCGGCCAGGCAACCGGUCCCUAGCGGGCGAGACCAGUCCCCGAGCGCGUCUUCGCAGUGAGAGACCGGUCCCGCGUAGGAAGAGACCGGUUCCCGAACGAUGGUUUCUCGGGUGCGGCAUGAGAGACCGGUCCCUUGCAGGGAGAGACCGGUCCCUCUGAGCGAAAACUGCCCAGUCCGGGCUAUUGUAAUAUUGGAUUUUUGGGGGGCCUCACUGGAUUUUGUUACACUAGAUGGGCUUAUUAGCUAUUCCACCCUCUUUCCUUCCUCAUUUCCUCAUUCUCACCCUCUCCCUACACUUUCUAGAGAGAGAAGAAGAAGAAGGAGGAGAAGAAGAGGAGGAGGAGCUUGCUUGAGGAGGCUUGGAGCUUCAACCCUUUCUCUCCUUCCCACCCUUGCAAGGUUUGGAGCUUGGUUUUGGAGCUUAGUGGUGGAGAGAUCUUGGAACCUAGAGGGUUUUGAACCUAGAUUAAAGCUUCUAGGAGGUAAGCAACUUGUUUUUCUCCAAGAUUUCUUGUUUGGUGCGUUUUUACCUUAUGGAACCCUAGAAUGGAUAUUAGGGUUGAUUUUGGGGCUUUUUGAUCUAGGGCUUUUGGAGCUUGAUCACUUGGAUUAGAGCCUUCCUUUGGGUUGGAUUGGAAGGGAUUUAGCUCUCUUUUGGAGCUUAGGAAGAGGUUUUGCACUAGAGGUGAGUUUUUGACUCUAUUCUUGAGAUGGUUAAAGUUUGAGCCUAGAGUUGCUCGUAAUGCUUGUGUAUCUCUUCGCUGAUCACUUUUAGGGUAUUUUGAGACUUGUGGACAACUGGCGAAACGAAGGACACCGCGACGGUUCGGUGGGUUUGACCUAGCCACACAAUGAGAAAAUCUCAUUUGUGAUGUUUUGAGUAUCGUUAAAUGGAAAUGCAUGCAUAUUCAUACUAAAUGUAUUUAUUAUGAUUUUUGGAAGGCUUAAAAUGCCUAUGUUACAUGUAAUGAAAUUUUGAAUCUCUAUGUAGUAGAGAGUAGCAUAUGAAGCUUAUGCGGGAUUUUUGGCGUUCUCAUGUUGGACCAUGUUCCUUAUAGUGUAAAUGAGCUUUGAUUCAUGCAUUUAAACCUAAGUUUAAUUGAGACAUGAAAGACAACAAAAUUGCCAUAUAGGAGCACCGGACUAGAACAUUAUGUAAAUUGGAGAGCUAAUGUCAUCAAGCGGCAUUGAGCUCGGGACAUGUGUGAACCUAGUGGAUAGGGCCAUUGAGGAUGCGGAACAUGCGUAUUUAUUGAAUGUCUAAGUGUCAUAAAGGGGCACUAGACCUAGAGAACAUUGGAACUUCACUUGUGACUUAGAACUAGAUCUUCGAGAUNGCUUGCUUGCCAUUUGUGCUCAUUCGCACAUGCUUGUGAGGGUCGCUCCCUACAAGCCGGCACUCCGGAGUUAGCCUAUGCGACCUAUGUUCGCUCGUGCGGUAUUGAGAGGCCUACGGGGUCGAGUAGGACAGACACAUUCCAAGAGUAGGAAUGUUGGGCUACCACAGGUACUUAGGCGGCACAAGCUGGACUACCUUUGGUAGGUUCUUAAUUGGAAAUGAAAAUCGACACAGUGUUGAGAAUGAAUAAUCACUACUAGAUAGGCUUAGUAGUUGGAUUACUUGACAUGCUCAUGACAUAGCAUUGGGAUAUAUAGUAUACUUGCCUGUUUCAUUCAAUUGCAUCAUAGUAUACUGGGUUGCUUUGAUAGAGCUUACUCCUUAUGCAUUGACAUAUUGCAUCGUGAGGUUUACUUGUUCAUUAUGUUAUGGCAUAUUAGUAUGCAUUGGACAUAUCAUCUUAUGAUAACGUUGAUGUACAUCACUAUGACAUCAUGCUUACUUGAGAUAUAGUAGUAUAGUAUUUUAUUCGUACUUUCUUUCAGCAGUUCUUAUACUCGCUCUUUAUUGUUUAUUAUUAUUGUCGUUACUUACCCUUUUCUUUUGGGGCCUAGUGGUGCAUUGAGCUGAGGUCAGUAAUUACCCACUAGGAACUAUAAAUUAUAGUUCUCACGCCCUCUGUUUUAUGUUUUCUUUCAGAGCCUUCCACCCCGGGAGAGGCUAGGGACCGAGGGAAGGGCGUGACUUCGAGCUAGCUCUUCAGCGAGUGACGAGUCGCUAGGUGGUCUACCUCUCGAUGUUUUUUUUUUGGAGAGGUAGAGAGCUGUACCAGUGUACUAGAGACCGCCCUUUUGUGUAUUAUUUUUGGAGAUGAUAUUGUACUACUUUAUGUUUUACUCUUAUUAUUUUUGUAUACCUCUUUUACCUUGUUAUAAACUAUAGAUAUGUCUGUGCUCUGAUAUCUCUAGAUGUAGAUUAUCUUUGGUUUUAUUUUUCGCUGUUGUUUUAGACGCCUUAUAUGUGUUGAUAUAUAGCGGGUCUGGGCACGCUAUCGGGAGGGCCUCUGCUGGUUCCGGGGCGUGACAGAUUAAUUUGGUAUCAGAGCCUAGGGUUGAGUCUUAGUGGACCUAGCAAACCUUAGGCCGGUUGGACUAUAGGAAUUAGGCUCGUGAGAGACGAGGUCUAAUUGAGUUGUGAGCGAAAGUAUUAUGAUUGGGUUUAUGAUAACUCUAAAAAGUUAGAGUUUGAUCGGAGUGUAUGGCUUCUAACUUCGCGGAGGGUUUCGUUGGCGGCCAACAACGUAACAUCGGGAGUUAGUAGUGGAGGACACUUCUUGACUUUCGCACGAUUUGUGUUUUGUUAUUUGAGUGGGGAUUCGAUAGUGCGGGUUUCUAACUUGCACUUUUAUGUUCUGUAGUAUUGAUGCCGAUUACACGCUCCCAGUCUGCCGGGGCGGAUGAUGCGGCACACCUCGAGGAGGUUGAGACCUCCGCUACUUCCGGAUCUAUUGCGGUCCGUGACUUGAGGACCCAGCUCGCGGUCCUCAUUGAUCUGUUGGCGCAGUAGGUGGCGGCCGCUCAGCGACAGGCCGAGAUGGCACAGCGGCAGGAGGCGCGGAUGAAGCAUCUGGAGGAUCUCUUGCUACAGCAGGCAGCAGCUUCUAGGGAGACUCAGGUUCCCACACCGCCAGCACCCAUAGUGGACGUUGCGCCGAGGGCGCAAUCCUCCGCACCCAGUUCUUCGCGUGCGGCACCAGCAACCGCACCUCGGGAAGAAGUGGUCGCAGCACCACCGGUUCAGAUACUCGCGGCGAGGGUGGCUUUCCCUGUGAUGGCCGAGGGAGCCAAGCGGGAUCGGCUCAUGGAUCGCCUCAGUGAGUUCAGGAGGUGCAGCCCGAGGACGUUUGAUGGCGAGAACGUCGACCACUGGAUUGUCGAGAAGUGGUUGAUCCACAUGGAGAAGCUAUUUCGAGAUACCUUUGUGGAGGAGAGGGACAGAGUGUGGCUCGCCACACACUUCUUGGACGGCGAGGCCUACUGUUGGUGGUUGGAUAUCCUGGACAACCCCAACACAGAUUUGGCAGUGAUCUCUUGUGCGAGGUUCAAGGAGAUGCUUCUGGCGCACUACUUCCCUACCAGCGCCAAGAGGAAAAUGGAGCAGGACUUGCGCUGUCACGCCCCGAGACCGCUACCAAUUUGGUCCGGUUCGAGCGCGUCGAACAGACGCCGAACGGACAGAGUCUCCCCUGUCCGCCCAAGGCUAAGCAAACGAUUCAUGUACAGAAUUUACCAGGAACCAAUUCAUAAGUACACAAUCACAAGAGCACAACAAUGCUAACAAAGUAAGAGCAAGGACAAGUAUAAAAGCAUACAAGUAACGAUAAAGAGAGAAGGUCUAUCUAUUCAUCAUUCAACCUCUUUAAUACAUCGAUUUACACUUUAAACUGCCAAAUACAACAUGAGUUUACAUUUCCAAAAUGAUACUCACACCCUAUACAUUCAUCUACUCCAAGUACCAAAGGUGGCUCUAAAUGCAAGGAAAGUAAACUAAUGCAUCUAGGGGCUAAGCCCUUACCGCGAUCUCGCCGUGUGAACUCGCGCUCGGCCCUGUAGUAAAAUGGGGGGUGAGAACUAACUUCCUUAGUUCCCAGUGGGUUCGGCCGCCGACUCCGCCGGUCUCCCCACUAGGUCCAAGUGGGCACAAGUAGAUAAACAGAUAGAUAGAUAUGAAAGCUGUAAGGACAGAAUAGAAAACUACGCUACUAUGCCCGAAUCAUAAAAUAUAUGAAUGCAUGUUCAAUGAAAUGGGUAGGCAAUAACUCGUCAUCAUGUCAAGAAGUAAAGUAUAUUUACUGUUCAUUAAUCUUAUGGCUCACCCGAGGGUUCCCUACUACUCACAUAGCCAUUCGCGCCGUAGGGAGAUCAACUUCAAAACUACGAAUUCCGAGACCGUUGCGGGACCCACAUAGGCUAUCCUCGGGACCCAAAUAGCUAUCCCACGUGACAACUCCGGAGCGCACACUUGUGUGGAGCGACCAUCACAAGUAUAAACAGACCGUGAGCAAGAUCCAAUCCUCUCCACUCAGGAUGCCUAUCCUCUAGGGUUACUUUCAUCACAAGGUCCAUAGGUUUCGUAUACACUAGGACUCACAUAGAUGCCACUCGUCUUUUGUUUACUAUCAACUAGAUGCCAUCUUCUUUGUUUACUAUCAAACUAGAUGCACUAGUUCUUUGUUUACUAUCAACUAGAUCGCACUCAUUCUUUUGUUACUAUCAACUAGAUGCCACUCAUUCUUUUGUUUACUAUAAACUAGAUGCCAUAGUUCUUUGUUUACUAUCAACUAGAUGCCACUCUCUUUUGUUUAACUAUCACUAAUCCCACUAGUUCUUUGUUUAAUAUAAACCCAACCAUGAGUCCAUCUUCACCUGCGCACUAUAGGAUCAAUUUCGACCAAUGCCUCAAUCAAUCCACUAUAUCAAAGCAAUCUAAAGCAUUGUAUGAUAUCAUCUAGGUAAGCAUAAGGAAGCAAUGCACAAUCAUCCUAUAAUGAAGUGAAUACAAGAUGCAAGAUUUAAUGUACUAAGACAUAAAGGGAGUCAGUUGCUUCGGGAUGGUCACCACCCAGCUCUUGGUAGUGCCCGAAAUUAAAAAACCCAACGCGCGAUCCCUCGUACGUCGCUCUCACUCCUCGGGGGCAACCAAACCCUCAAGUACUUGUUUGGCGAUAACUCCGCACCGCUUGUCGAUCGACAAACCGUCUUCGCCAACGUGUUUAUAGACCUAGCAAUUAGGUUUACAGAGGGUUAUAUUGAGAUCAAACCCCAUAUUUCCAAAAUUGCAUUUUGAACCCUAGGUUUCAACUUUUGCAAAAAUUCACAAAAUUGAUCAUGAUUUAGGCAACAAUCAUCUAUUUAGCAUCAUAGGAUUCCAAUAAAUCCAUUUUAUAGCAUAUAAAUGAAGGCCCUAAAUUCUACCAUUAUAGGAUUUGAAAGUGCCCUAGGUUUCAACAAUGAGGAAAUCAUGGCUCAAGCUUCAAAUUCGAGCUAGAACCAUCUAACUAGCUCCAAUAGGUUCCAUUCAAAACAAUUUAAACCAUAAAACCUAUCUUAAGGAAUCUACCAUUAUAGGUUUGAGCUUACCUCUAAAAGCUUUCUCCAAGGUUGAGGGAGAGAGGAAGAGAGAUGAUCUUCCUCUUCUUGGUCUCUUCUGCCUUCUCUUCUUUCUUUCUUUUUUUUUUUCCUUUCUUUUCUUCUUCCUUUCUUUCUUCUUUCUUUUCUUUCUUUUCUUUCUAGAGAGAAAGAGGGAAAAGAGUGUGAGAGUGGGAGAGAAUGAGAAGAACUGAGGGAGAUAGUGUGUAUGUGUGUGUGUACGCAGCAACCAGCCCACCAUAGGCUGCUGUAAAAUUCACAAACCCCUCUGCACACCUAUUACAACUUGCAUUUUCGCAGUGUCGGAACAGUCGGGGCCCUUCUGAAUGUGUCGUUUGUGCUAAAUUCGACAGGCAUGCUCGGUUUAACGUACUGAGCAAGAAUAUAUCUUAGUUUUCAGUUUCGACCCGUUUGUCACCGAAAACCUGUGCCGAACUGUAAUCUUUAGUAGAUAGCAGUUCGAUUUUAUUCUCCACCUUCCGGUGUCAGAAUGGGCUUGAAACUUAAAUAUAGCCUCAUAAAAAUAAUUCUGACAUAUCCUCCAGUUUCAUAUUUUCUGACACUGUGCAUUUUCUGCUAAAUUUAUCUGCCCAUUCCUUCCAGAAAAUUCUAAUCUAUCUCUCUCUUGGNNNNNNNNNNNNNNNNNNNNNNNNNNNNNNNNNNNNNNNNNNNNNNNNNNNNNNNNNNNNNNNNNNNNNNNNNNNNNNNNNNNNNNNNNNNNNNNNNNNNGGAUUUUGGUACCCAGCCUUAAACCACAAUUCUCGGGACUCGAACCAUAGGUCGGAACACAGUCAACGACCUACCAGAAAGUCUGGAAAAGUUCAAAACACAAUCAAUCACUCGAACCCCACAAUUUGCAAGGUCCAGUGCGUCACAUGCGGAUAGGCGCCGACGAGAUAUAGAGUUCGCGGUGGGUGACCGCAUAUUCUUGAAGGUUUCGCCAAUGCGGGGGUGAAGCGGUUUGGAGUGCGGGGAAAGUUGAGUCCCCGGUACAUUGGACCCUAUGAAAUUUUGGAGCGAGUUGGCACGGUGGCGUAUCGGCUUGCCUUGCCGCCGAAGCUCGCGGAUGUACACAAUGUGUUCCACGUCUCCAACCUCCGCAAGUAUAUUCACGACCCCGAGCAUGCGAUGCUAUAUGAGCCACCGGAACUUCAAGGAGACUUGAGCUACGAAGAGUUUCCGGUGGGUAUUAUCGCUCGAGAAGUGCGAAAGCUGAGGAAUCGAGAAAUCCCCUAUGUGAAAAUUCGGUGGAGCAAUCACGAUGAUCACGAAGCCACCUGGGAACUCGAGGAAUUGAUAAGAAGGCACCAUCCUCAUCUAUUUGAGGAAUGAGGUAUGAGUUAAGUUGAAAGUUAGAGAAUUUGUUCGUUUCGAGGACGAAACUCCUUUUAAGGAGGGGAGGAUGUAAGGAAGUGAAUUCUCGAAAUCCGAGGAUUGUACUUCAUCCAGGAUCGACUAACUGUCGAGAGAAUACCCUUUGUGGGAGUUAAGAAUGUCCAAAACACUAAAAGUGCUUUGGAGUUGAGUCCACGAGAGCAAAUAGGCAAAAUCUUGACUCAGCAGAUUUUUGCUCUCGGGGACCGGUCCCUGGAGGGAGGGACCGGUCCCCGUAGCUGAUGGUCGCGUGGGAGGUCGAUGCGACCGGUCCCUGGCUGAGGGGUGUCAAACGGGCCACCCGACACGAGAGUGGGCCGAGCCGAGGCAUGACACGAGUACUAUAGCACUCAUGCCGGGCCGUCCCACCCCAACUCUUGGAGUUGGGUUUAGCAGCUUUAGGGCUCUCCCAAGGGUCUAGUAUGGCAGACCCCAUACUAGACCCUUGGGAGAUGAGCAUUUUGAUUCCUUUGGACCAAGCUUCCUUUCCCAACAGUCAAAAAUUUGACUGUUGGGAAGGUAUUUUGGUCCAAAAAAAUUUAAAAUUUUAAUAAUUUUAUAAACAUAUUUUAAAAUUUGAAAUUUUUUCACUUAUAUAUUAUUUUUUAAAAACUAAUAUUUUAUUUUUAUUUUUUGAAAAUUUUAAAUAUUUUUUGAAUAAAAUUAAUAAAUAAAAAACAGCUGGCCCAAAGCCCAGCCUAGCCCGGCACGACCCGUACCAUCCGAACCGGAGGGGGCGUGCUGGGCCGGGGUCCAAGAACUUUGGCCCGGCACGACACCACCCGACUUUGGGGUCGGGCCGUGCCGGGCUGGCCUCCAGCACGUAUCGGCCCGGCUAAAUGUUCACCCCUCCUACUCAUAAUGGAGCAUGUCUGCGACCACGAAUGACGUACCUUGCACGAUUAAUCUUAUUUUGAUUUCCCGUGGGGUAGUAUUCAUGAUUCAGAUUAAUAUUUGAAUAUGUAUGGUUAUCAAGUAUUAUGGAUCCAUGGCUUCCAAUAAAUACAAGCAUUUACUGUUAAUUAUCCCUAUAAAAUAUUAGGGUACCCGAUUAAGAGACCUCUGAAAUGCUGAAGGAGAAAUAAACUGGAAUUGAACAAAAAAGAUUUUAUAAUAUAGUUUAUCAUUCAAUUACAUGGCUUUAACCAAGGGCAUACUCUCAAUGUACAUAAACAGAGCAUAAAAAAAAAGUGCUUAAUUUUACGAUAUGAUGGUCAACUGAACUUAAUUUUGAUUGCACCUUGGUUAUAUAUUCCAAGAUGCUCAAAGUAUAUGAUCAAGUUAAUUUGGUUGGGCUCUAUAUGUUUCGGAGCUCAACAUUGUUCACCCUAAGAUGAAAGAUUGAUUAAAUUCCACAUAUAUGCAUUGGGACUUAAUCGGAUUUGAUUCAAAUUAAACUCUAAUUAGAUGCAUUAGAGUUUGAUUUGGUUAAUUGAACUUUAAUUGUAUGUAAUAAAGUCCAAUAGAAUUUUAUUUAAUUUAAGCUUUCAUCCUAAAUGUAUGUGUUAGGAUUAGCCCAAAUAUUUUGAAUUGGACUCUAAUUUUAUAUCUUAGAGUCUAGUGUAAUUAGGCCCUACGCUUAUGUGUUAGAGCUUAAUCAUAUUUACUUUGGGUUCACCAUAAGGUGAAAUGUUAACUAAAUCCUAAUUAUAUAUAUUAGGAUUAGUCAAAUUUAAUUUAAAUUAAACUCUAAGUAUAUGUAUUAGAGUCUAACUUAGCUUCAUUUAUUUGAACUCCAAGUAGAUGUAUUAGAGUCCAAUAAAUUUAAUUUGAUUAGGUGAAACCUAAUCUAUUAUUUUUUACCUUAGUCACAUAUACUAAGAUAAAUAUAUGGUUUGAUCAAUUCUAAACAAAUAUUUUAGAAUUUGAUUUAGCAUGAAUGUGGUAGCAAUAUGACUCUAGCUUAAUGUGCUAGAGAAUUGGGUUAAAAAGUUGGUAGGGCUCAGCCUCAUAUUCAGGUUGUACCUAGCCUAUGUGGCUUAGGUUCAAGAGUGGAUUUGAUUGAUAAGCAUAAUUUCAAAUCUUGAUUUGGGUUAAAUUUUUGGAUUUGGUGCUGGUCUAUAUGAGGAGAUCCAUCAUCUGAAUUGGUUUUCAGUGCAAACAUAGUUUGGAUUAGUUUGGAUUCAAACUUGGGCCUGGGCUAGGUAUGGCUUCAUGUAAUUCAAGUUAUGGUUCAAUUCUACUAUGGAGUCAAGCAUGGUCCAAAUUCGGGCCCGUAUAAUUGCAUUCAGGCAUGGGCUAAAUUCAGGCCCAUAUGGUAUGAAUUCAAGUUGAGGCCAGAAUUGAAUUUAAGUUCUGGAUGUGGGCUUAGGCUUAGUUUAGGGCCGUAUGACUUAAGUCCAAGUUUUCUUUGGGCAAGCUACAGAAUUGGGCUCAGAUUCAGGUUUGGGCUGAACCUGAGUUAUGCUGAGCUUGAGUUAUGUGAUUUGAGGUGAGUAUGGGCUUGGUCCAUACAAAAUCUUUUAUUUUGAGGUGGUUAGCCAGAGAUUAUUUGGGACUUGUUGAGAUCAAAACAUUGAAAAUUUAAAUAUUUAAUUCAGAAUCAAAUUCACUGCUUUAAUUUUGAAUACAUUUUUUUAUAAUAAUCACGACUUAAUCUAAUUUGGAGCAUAAAGCGUCCAAUGCGAUUAAAUCUCAAUUUGAUCUAGUUUGGCCAAAUCGAGAGAUUCGACUCUGCAUAGAAUCAAAAGGGGAUCGAUUAUUUUUCGAACAUCCCGUUGUUCUUCCAAUAAAAAGACGAUUAAAAGAAUAACAAUCAACAAUCCGAUUGAUUUCUUUUGCCUCUUAAUUAUAAGAGAAUUAAGAGAGUAUUUUUCUCUUUAUCUUCUUUGAAGGUACAAGACAACAAAGAUGGAUAAUCCUUCUUUGCCUCUCUAAGUAACAAAGCUCCCUCUCUCUUUUGAUGAUAUAUUUUUUUACGAAGAGAAGAGCACCGCUCUCUCUCUUUUGGUAACACACUUUUUUUUUUUAAAGAGAAGAGCACCGCUCUCUCUCUUUAUAUGCAGGUUAGGUUCGCCGUAGAAAAAUGCGUCUUGGGCAUUUCGUCAAACAAUUGGUGGGCGUGAUGCGUUGCGCAACUCCGAUUGCUUUGGAAUCGCAGUAGAGAGUUGGAAGUCGCAGCUAUGAUAUAGUCGAUGUAGUGGCAAGGUCGAAGGUGAAGAAAUCGACGAAGUCGUUGGGCGUCAUCUCGGGAUGGAUGGACGCCAACGUUCCGCAGCAUCCGCAGCAGGUGCUCUAACAGCACCACUUCGCGCACGAUGAUCACCGCCGAUGGCAUCCCCUCUCCUCCGUCCGAGCGCUCGAUGAGGACGCGGAAGAGCGGGUGGUCGAUGAGAUCGGAGCUGACCAUGUAGCACACUGGAGCUGUGCAAAUUGCGAGGCUCGAGUGAUUGGAUGUGUUCCGAGCUGUUCCACACUUGGUGGAGGGUUGUAGAAUGUUUUCCGACCUAAGAAGUUCGAAAAUCUGAGUUCUGGACGAGUCCUGAGAGUUUGUACUCUCGGGGACCGGUCCCUGUGUCACGCCCCGAGCUCCGCCAAUUUGGUCGGAUUCGAGCACGCGACAGACGCCGAACGGACAGUACCUCCCCUGUCCGCCCAAGGCUCGAACAACAAGUAUAAUGCAAGCAAAACCUAAAGGAGAAUUGCGAGAUAUACAAGGUUUGCACUAGGGCAAACAACAACUACAGUGAAAGCAUCGAAACUAAUUAAACAUCCAAUAUACAUGUCAUUUGAUUACAUUUGAAUCAAACACAAGUAGUCCAACACAUUUACAUUCAUUACAUUAUUUCUUGCAUUACCCAAAAUAAAAUUUACAUUACAUCGCUUUUACUUUACAAUUUCAACAUAGAAAAGUUGAAUACAUCAAGAGUAGGGUAUGCCUAUGUAACUCCGGGGUCGCUAUCUACGGCGCGACUCCCUUGCCUCGAUCCUCCGNCGCGCAAUGGCGUUGCCGCGCUCUAUCCAUAGUGCACGAUCAAGCACCUCUUCAUAAGUCAUCAGCCGAAGCGCCUGAACCGUCUUGAAUAUCUCCGGCCGCAAUCCACGCUCAAAGACCUCCGCCCGAUCCCGGUCACCAUGAACCAGGCCGGGAACACAGUUAACCAUAUCCGAGAAUUCCCUUUCAUACUCCCGUCCACCAUGAUCUAGCCGGCCCCUCUAAACAGUGAGCCGCCAAACGAACCUUGUCUUUCUCGAGGGUGUAGAUAUCCUCAAACAACGCCUCCAUCGCAGAAAGCCACGCCUCCAUUAACCAUGGGUCUUUCACAUCACCCACAAAGGUCGGAGGAUUGAACCGUUUGAAGGCCGUCAACACCGCCAACGACCGCUCCUGCUCGGCUUCAAGUACAUCCGGAAUAGGGGCCAAAGAACCUGAAGCUGUCGGAGGAAUAGCCGUCACCGGUGCCGCCGCCAUCGGCGUAGGUGCUACAGGUGCAGGCGGGUCCUGAGGUACAGGUGCAGCCGCCGCCGCCUGUCGAGCCACCAUGUCGUGGAGCUGCCCUAUCUGUUCCCCCUGUUGUCGCAUAGCCCCCGCCAAAGCUGCUACUUGGGCCCGCAACUCGCGAACUUCAUCGGAUCCAACCUGCUCUGGCACCUCAUCAGGCGAUGCCGGAACGGUCCGUCGGGUAUAACGUCUCGGUGACAUCUGUCCUGAAACGAAACGAACGCGUUAAUACUCGACAUUCGAGUCUCUUACUCGUUCCAAAUAACUACCCAAUUAAGCGAAAGCAAUCAAGUACGUUCAUUUUCUACUCUUGGCAUUAGGUGGUCGUCCGCCCCACAUAAUACCUCAAAAAGAAAACAAACGUCCCUUGAGUCCAUCUCUAUUUCCGUUUAGAGAAGUUCCAUAAUAACCCAAUCAAUUAGCCUUCGCCAAUCCAAGUCCACGUUAUACGUAUCCUAAUUCCUAAGGUCUCCAAUCCUAAGGACCCUAAGUCCAUCCUAGACUUUUGCUUUCACAUGGCUCUGAUACCACCAUAUCUGUCACGCUCCGAGCUCCGCCAAUUUGGUCAGAUUCGAGUACGCGACAGACGCCGAACGAACAGUACCUCCCCUAUCCGCCCAAGGCUCGAACAACAAGUAUAAUUCAAGCAAAACCUCAAGGAGAAUUGCGAGAUAUACAAGGUUUGCACGAGGGCAAACAACAACUACAGUGAAAGCAUCGAAACUAAUUAAACAUCCAAUAUGCAUGUCAUUUGAUUACAUUUGAAUCAAACACAAGUAGUCCAACACAUUUACAUUCAUUACUUUAUUUCUUGCAUUACCCAAAAUAAAAUUUACAUUACAUCGCUUUUACUUUACAAUUUCAACAUAGAAAAGUUGAACACAUCAAGUGUAGGGUAUGCCUAUAUAACUCCAGGGUCGCUAUCUACGGCGCGACUCCCUUGCCUCGAUCCUCCGCCGCCCCGCUCGCGUACGGAUCUGCAGGGUUAGUGGUAAUGAGAACUAGAACGAAGUUCCCAGUGGGUUCGGCCGCCGACCACGCCGAUUCGCCCACUAGGUCUAAUUCAGGCAUAUGUAUAUCAAUAAAGAAGAAUAACAAACCAACUAAUGCACAUCUACUACAAUGCCUGCAAGAAACAAGUCACGGAUGGAUAUUCAUAUUCAAAUACAUGAAAACGAUGCAUGCAUGUCCUUCUUCACUUUCCUUUGGCCUUUACCCAAUUCAACCUGGGGUGCUCCUGGUUUACCCCAACUCACAGUCAACAUAUCCAUCUAACGGGGGAGGCACAGGGCACUACCACCCGAAGGAUCUUCGCCGGGCACGUCCACCCGUGGUGCAUUUCUUCUCCGGAGUACACCGCUCGUGGAGGAGCGACCUCUCACAAGCCGGAACCAAUACAUGUGAGUAUGAUCCCAUCCUCAAUUUUGAGGAGGUAUGGCCAACCUGUCACAACUCUCACUGUCUCAAUGCUAAUGAAUUGUUAUUACCUAUUCAUGCACAUACUGUCACUUGCCAACGUCACAGUGGUCCUGAUGCCACAAUACACAUAAUGUCACUCGGGUUAAACCUUGUUUAUCUAUUCACUUAUCGGUGUCAAUCGAGUCACUAAUGUUCAUGUCACCUUUGUUUACUACGGUCACGGUCAUUCCCUAUAUUCACAUGCAUAUAGAGUCUUUCACUUUCCUUUUUCACAUGGUUCUAUAUCACUACAAUGAUCUCAAACAGAUAAUUGUUACAACCAACACAUGCUGUUCAUUACCCUACAUGCAAGAAUGCUAUAAUAUCGAUAUGCUCAAAUGAUAAGACAUAGACAUAGAAAGAGAUCCGGUGUUUUCGGAUAGCACCCCCCACCUUUGUGUGUCACAUGGAUGCCACGGUUUCGAUUUCACGAUUUUGGACUCGUUCGCCGCAAGCUACGACGAUCUGUACUAUUUCUGCUUCUUUUUCCAAUAUCUUCGCGCACGCUCGUCGUAUCGCCGAACCGAGCACACCGAUGCGUUCGUAGACCUACCAAUUUGGUUAAAAUGAGAUCAAAUCCAAGUUUGAACCUCAAAAUUGCAAAACCCUAAUUAUAGGUCCUCCACAAUAUCAUCUUCUCCAAUCAAGCCCCUAGCUUGACAAAACAUGGAGGAAAAUCACCCUAAACAUCUCUAGAUGCCUCAACUAGAAGCAAAAACCCAAAACCUAACUCAAUAUCACAAGAACUCACCUUGGGAGCCCAAAACUUUCCUUCAAAGCCUUGAUCAAGCUUGCUCUUCACCUUGGAGAGCUUCUUCUCCAAGCUUGCUUCUCCAAAUCCCCUCUUGGUCCAAGCCCUAGAGAGAGAGGGAGAGAGAUGAGAAGGAUUUUAGAGAGAGAGAGGGAAAGGUUUGAGAGUAAGAGUGAGAACAAAUAGCUCUCACUCAUGCCCUAGCUCAAUAUAACCCUUCACAAGCCAUAUUUGCAUUUAAACCCCUCUCAAUUUCAUAUUUGCAACUAGCCCUUACUGGGCAUUCUCGGGCUCGGGGACCGGUCUCUCCCUUUCAGGGACCGGUUCCCGAGAGCUACCCUGCAACCUGCGCAGUAGGGGACCGGUCUCCCCCUGAUGAAACCGGUCUUCGGGGACCGGUCUCUCGCCCAAGGACCAGUUCCCAAGAGCUCAGCUUCCAGGACUUAGCUGAUUUUUCCUUCUGCUUGAUUUACCAACGUUCGGGAACCGGUCUCUCACCCAAGGGACCGGUCCCCGAGAGCAAAAAUUCUGGAAAUUGUCCAGAAUUGCAGUUUCACUCUCUCGAGUCCCUUUAUACCACAUAUAUAGGCUCCAAUACACUUUUAGCCUAUAGUAACUCAUCCCUUUCCGCGUUCCACUCAUUUUGACGGAACUCGGCUCAACCUACGGGGAAGCGAUAUGUUACAUUCCCCACCCCUUAAAAUUGUUUCGGCCGCGAAACUAAUUCACUCGUAAUUCAAAAUCCAUACCUCAUCUUAGUUCCUCGAAGAGAUAAGGGUGACGCUCCUUCAUUACGUCCUCAAGCUCCCACGUCUCUUCUCGAUCGCCGUGUUCGCUCCAAUGGAUCUUAACAUACGGAAUCUCUCGAUUCCGUAGCUUUCGGACCUCCCGAUCAACAAUGUACGCCGGGAACUCCUCGUAGGUCAUGUCCUCUUGAAGUUCUGUCGGUAUAUACGAGAGAACAUGCUCCGGAUCGUGAACAUACUUGCGGAGAUUAGAUACAUGGAACACAUCGUGCACCCCCGCAAGCCUCGACGGUAAUGCUACUCUGUAGGCCACCGCGCCAACUCUUUCUAAGAUCUCGAAGGGUCCGACAAAUCGGGGACCUAACUUUCCCCGGACACCAAACCUCUUAACACCGCGCAUUGGCGAUACCUUCAGAAACACGCGGUCUCCAACCGUGAACUCGAUGUCCUUCCUUCGCUUAUCGGCAUAGCUCUUGUGCCUUGAUUGCGCCGUCACUAACCUUUGCCGGUCAAGACGAACUUUCUCCUCCGCCUCCCGAACAACUUCUGGGCCAAGAACAACCUUUUCGCCUACCUCGCUCCAAUGAAUUGGCGAGCGACACUUCUUUCCAUAAAGGGUUUCGAAUGGCGCCAUUGCAAUACUUUCUUGAUAACUAUUGUUGUAUGCAAAUUCCGCCAUCGAUAAAUAAUCGUGCCACCCUCCACGAUAGUCAAGCACACAUGCUCGCAACAUGUCCUCAAGUAUCUGAAUCGUCCUCUCAGAUUGCCCAUCACUCUGAGGAUGAAACGCCAUACUGAAAUCGAGCCGCGUGCCUAGAGCAUCCUGCAAGCUCCUCCAGAAAUGAGAAGUGAACCGGGGAUCUCGAUCGGAUACAAUCGACACAGGAACCCCAUGCAAUCUCACUAUCUCGUCCAAGUACGUCUGGGCCAACUUGUCUCCUGACCACGUGGUGUGAAUCGGUAAAAAGUGAGCCGAUUUUGUCAAACGGUCCACAACCACCCAUAUGGCGUCAUGUCCAGCUUGUGAUCGGGGCAGCCCGACCACAAAGUCCAUAGCGACAUUCUCCCACUUCCACACAGGGAUCGGUAGACUCUGCAACUUCCCCGCGGGAAAACGACGCUCAGCUUUUACUUGUUGGCACGUCAUGAAUUGCGCCACGAAUUCUCCGAUGUCCCUCUUCAUACCCGGCCACCAAUAAUGUAACUUAAGGUCUUUGUACAUCUUAGUGCCACCCGGGUGAAUACUAUAUAGGGAAUGAUGCGCCUCUUGCAACACCACUUUACGAAUCCCAUCGUCCUUGGGUACGCACAAUCGAUUUCUGAACCGAAGUGCACCGUCGGUCCCCACGCCGAAAUCACCAGCGUGCCCAUCGUUAACAUCAUUCUGCACCUUUUGGAGAUACGGAUCUUCAACUUGCCGCUCCUUGAUUUGCUCCAACAAGGUCGGUCGAAUUACUAGUGCCACCAAGGUAGUCGGAAUUUCCGGCGCCACUACCUCCAAUCCAAACCGCUGCAUUUACCUAUAUAAUGCCGGUUGACUAGUAAUCGUCGUCGCCAAGUUUUCAACAGAUUUUCUACUCAGCGCAUCGGCCACCACGUUCGCCUUACCGGGGUGGUACAAGAUAGUAAGAUCGUAAUCCUUUAUCAAUUCCAGCCACCGCCGCUGCCGCAUAUUCAACUCUUUCUGGGUGAAUAAAUACUUGAGGCUUUUGUGAUCGGUAUACACCUCGCAAUGCUCACCAUAAAGAUAGUGCCUCCAAAGCUUCAACGCGAAAACAACCGCCGCAAGCUCAAGAUCGUGGGUCGGGUAGUUCUUCUCGUAGCUUUUCAACUGGCGCGAAGCAUACGCAAUGACUCGCCCAUUUUGCAUAAGAACACACCCAAGACCGGUGUAGGAAGCAUCACUGUACACCACAAAGCUCUCUCCCGGCGUUGGCAAAGCAAGUACCGGGGUAGACGUCAACUUCUUCUUCAGCUCUUGGAAGCUUCGAUCGCAACCUUCGCUCCAAUCAAACCUUACUCCUUUGUGUGUAAGGCGUGUGAGAGGAGUAGUCAAUUUCGCAAACCCCUCAACAAAAUGCCUAUAAUAGCCCGCCAAUCCGAGGAAACUGCGGACUUCCGCCACACUCGUAGGACGGGGCCAAUCUCGAAUCGCCUCAAUUUUCUUCGGGUCCACCGAGAUUCCAUUCCCAGAUAUCACAUGGCCUAAGAAGGUCACCUCCGAAAGCCAAAAUUCGCAUUUCUUGAGCUUAGCAUAAAGCCUCUCAUCUCGGAGUAUUUGCAACACGGUCCUUAGAUGUUCCUCGUGCUCUUCUUCACUCCGCGAAUACACCAACACGUCGUCGAUAAACACCACGGUGCACUUAUGCAACAAUGGUCGGAAGACCCUAUUCAUCAAGUCCAUAAACGCUGCCGGGGCAUUGGUAAGCCCAAACGGCAUCACCGUAAACUCGUAGUGGCCAUACCGCGUACGGUACGCCGUUUUAUGCACGUCCUUCGGUCGGAUUUUCAACUGAUGGUAUCCCGACUGAAGAUCUAUCUUCGAGUAUACCCGCGACCCCUGCAACUGAUCGAAUAGGUCAUCUAUUCUCGGUAACGGGUACUUGUUCUUGAUCAUCACCUUGUUCAACUCGCGAUAGUCAACGCAGAGUCGAAGGGUGCCGUCCUUCUUCUUCACAAACAAUACUGGUGCUCCCCACGGAGACACACUUGGCCUCACGAAGCCUUUAUCGAGUAGGUCCUGCAACUGGGCCUUUAGCUCUUUAAGCUCCAUCGGUGCCAUCCUAUAUGAAGCCUUCGAAACUGGCGCCGCACCGGGAAUCAAAUCAAUGACGAACUCGACUUUCCGAUCCGGUGGUAGUCCCGGUAAUUCCGCCGGAAAUACGUCCGGGUACUGACACACCACCCGAAUAUUCCCCAACUCCGGGUGCUCCUUUUGAGGGUCCACGAUGGUCGCCAAGAAGCUUUGCAACCACCCUUGAUCAUCCUUUUCGCCCUCACCGUCGAUAUAGUCGCCGCAAAGCGCGCGCCUUUACAUGCCCGAUACUCGAACUCUUUUUGACCAGGCUCACGAAAAGUGAUCACCCUACUGUCACAGUCGAUGCUGGCAUAGUACUUGGAGAGCCAAUUAACUCCCAAGAUGACAUCAAAUCCCCACAUCUGCUUGAGCACUAGCAAAUCCACCGGCAUGAAUCAGUCGCCGAUUUGCACCGGACAAGCUAGGCACUCGUUGUGAACUCUAAACGAGUGUUCUGGUGCGUUAACCCACCAAUAGUCGUAAUUAUGCUCUAUGUCCAUGCCAUGCGUCUUAGCAAACGAGGCGUCAAUGAAUGAAUGCGAUGCGCCCGUGUCAAAUAAUGCCCUUGCUCUAAUGCCAUUAAUCAGAAUAAUACCUGCCACGACGUCGUCGGGUACAGCAGGCUGCUCCUCCAUCUGAGUGGCGAAAACCCGCCCACUCGGUGCACGUGAUCCCUCCGGUUGUCGCGUGAUGAAGCGCGCCCAGCCGACAUGGCAGGUGGCAGUCCUGCAAGCUGUCGUGGAGCAUACUGAGCCGAAGCAGCUGACGGAGCAGGUGACGCGCCGCCCGAGCAAUCCCAUCUCAUAUGUCCCGCUUGGCCGCAUCGGAAACAUCUCCCGUCACGCUGAGAACAUUCACUCGGCCUAUGAUUCCCACCGCAAAUUACGCACGGGAAGGAACUCAUCUGACUCCUUGUCUGACUCCUAUCUCGCCGCCACUGCGAUCUAGGGUGCCGAGGGGGUCACUUGGAACUCAACUGCCCCGCGGAACCACCAGCCGGUCGUUUCUUGGACUUCUCCCUGUCCUUGUCCCUUUCAAACGCCUCGCGUUCCUCGCGCGCAAUGGCGUUGCCGCGCUCUAUCCAUAGUGCACGAUCAAGCACCUCUUCAUAAGUCAUCAGCCGAAGCGCCUGAACCGUCUUGAAUAUCUCCGGCCGCAAUCCACGCUCAAAGACCUCCGCCCGAUCCCGGUCACCAUGAACCAGGCCGGGAACACAGUUAACCAUAUCCGAGAAUUCCCUUUCAUACUCCCGCACCGUUCGGCUUCCCUGCCUUAACUUGCGAAAGUCUUCCUUGAUCUUCCGCUUAUCACUUUCCGGAAAGUAUUCCAUUAGCAGAAACUCCCGGAACGCCUCCCAAGUCAUAGUAGCCGGAUCCAAGGACCGACCAUUCUUCACUCUCGUCCACCACGAUCGAGCCGACCCCUCUAAACAGUGAGCCGCCAAACGAACCUUAUCCUUCUCGAGGGUGUAGAUAUCUUUAAAAAACGCCUCAAUCGCGGAAAGCCACGACUCUAUCUACCAUGGGUCUUUCACAUCACCUAGAAAGGUCGGAGGACUAAACCGCUUGAAGGUCGUCAACGCCGCCAACAACCGCUCUUGCUCGGCCUCAAGUACCUCCGAGACAGGAGCCGAAGAUCCCGAAGUCGUCGGAGGAAUGGCCGUCACUGGUGCCGCUGCCACCGGAGUAGGUGCUACAGGUGCGGGCGGGUCCUGAGGCACAGGUGUAGCCGCCGCCGCCUGUCAAGCCACCAACUCAUGGAGCCGUCCUAUCUGCUCCCUCUGCUAUCGCAUAGCCCCAGCCAAAGCUGCUGCUUGGGCACGCAACUCUCGAACUUCAUCAGAUCCCGUUUGCUCAGGCACCUCAUCAAGUAGUGCUAGAGCGGAUCGACGCGUGUAACGUGUCGAGGACAUUAGCUCCUGAAACGAAACACACACGUCAUUACCCGACACGCGUAACUCUUACACGUUCCAAAUAGCUACCCAAUUAAGCGAAAGCAAACAAGUGUCCUCAUUUUCAACUCUCGGCAUCAUGCAGUCGGCCACCCACAUAACACUUCAAAAAGAAAACAAUAAGCACUUGAAUUCAUCUCUAACUCCUUUUAGAGAAAUACUAACAACAACCCAAUCCAUUCGCUUCCGCAUCUCCGAGUCCACGUCAUACGUGUCCUAAGUUCCUAAGGUUUCCAAUCCUAAGGUCCCUAAGUCCAUCCUAGACUUUUGCUUUCACUUCGCUCUAAUACCACCGUAUCUGUCACGCCCCGAGCUCCGCCAAUUUGGUCGGAUUCGAGCACGUAACAGACGCCGAACGGACAGCACCUCCCCUGUCCGUCCAAGGCUCCAACAACAUGUAUAAUACAAUCAAUUCAAUAAAAAGAUUGCAAGAUAUACAAGGUUUGUACGAAGGCAAACAACAAACAAUUACAGUGAAAGCAUCGAAACUAACUAAACAUUCAACAUACAUGUCAUUCGAUUACUUUUGAAUCAAACACAAGUAAACCAUUCAUUCUUUUCCAUUCAUAUACAUCACAUAAUUUACAUCUCUUUACACUACUAGUUCAACAUACAAAAGUUGGCUAUACAUAGGGAAUGCCUAUACUCCGAGGGUUGCUAUCUACGGCGCGAUACCCUUGCCUCGAUUCUCCGCCACCCUGCUUGCGCACGGAUCUGCAGGGACUAGAACGAAGUUCCCAGUGGGUUCGGACGCCGACCGCAUCGCCCACUAGGUCUAUCUCAGGCAUAUGUAAUUCAAGAAAUAAUAGAUUGCAAACCAACUAAUGCAAAACUAUUACAAUGCCUGCAAGAAAACAAUCCACAGAUAGAUAGAUGCACCAGUACAUGAUAAUUAUGCAUGUAUGUCCUUUGUCAUUUAUUUUCUUUUCCUUUGGCCUUUACCCAAUCAUCCCGGGGUACUCCUGGUUCACCCCAAACUCACGAACCACAAUUCCCGUCUACCGGGGGAGGCUACUUGUCACAGUCCGCGACCACCGGCCUAUUUGGCCGAGGUCGCGGCGCCGACGACAGUGCCGAAUGGACAGGGUUUCCCCUGUACUGCGGACAAAGUCUCCCCUGUACAUUCAAGGCAACGAAAUCAAUACAAUACGAAGGUUCCAACCAGGAACUGAUAUCAAUCAAGAUUGCAUAAAGGAAGGUAUCAACAACAUAUCACAUCCUACGUUAUUACAUGCAUUCUCAUUCAUAUGUUUUUACAUCACAGUUCUUUUUACAUUCAUUUUCUUUUUCAUCCAAAUGCAAUCUAGUUAUUACAAAUUUAUUUACAAAUUGAUACAUUGUGUUCUUUCCAUUUUCUAUACCCCUAGCCACGUCGACGGGGUACUGCUAGCUCUGGUCUCUGGGUAGGGCGCUAUCUACGGAGCUACGCCCUCGCCUCGCGCCGCCGCGCCGCNNNNNNNNNNNNNNNNNNNNNNNNNGGCGCAACUACUGUACAACUUGUAAACACUCGCAAAACAUAACGUGGUAGAAAACUAACAUCCCGGUUACCAGUGGUACGCGAACCGCAAAGGGAAAAGCCUUGACCAAAAGUGUUACGUGAGGCCACCAUCAAUGUUAGUUCAACAAUGAUAUGCGAACGAUUAUAUAUAAUUAUAUUUCUUGAAAUAACAUGUCAGGACUACACAAAGCUGAAAAUAAUGGCAACAUCAAUGCAAGCUCUAGUAGUCAUUUGAUUCUACGUUUACUUGGCUAAUUUUAGCAUCAUACUUUAUUCUAAGGUGUUCUAUUACGCUAUUCCAAACUCAAGUUGAAUUGCUCUACGGUCUUUAUACCUAGUCUUAUCUUUAUCAUAGCCUUAUAAGGUUUUAUUAGCUAAUCAAAGCUAAAACCGAUCGGCCUCAGAGUUCAAUCAUCCGCCGGAUUCCGCGCACCGUGCCGCCGUCUGGUGACCUAAGCCAGCUGCGCGGAAUCGUCGCAUCCACAUGGCCGAACCUAGUUCAAGUUAUAGAGGUUUACACACGACCAAUCCAUAAAUACUUUUCGCCAAAAUCAUAAGUCCUCGUCUUCACGGCUUAUUCUCUAUGGUUUUUACUACUCCUAGGUCUCCUAGUCAUCUAAACCAUUUUCCCUUCUCUACUUUAUGUCUGCUGAUACCAUCUUCUGUCAGCAGCCAGCGCGACCACGUGUACUAUUUCUGCUUCUUUUUCCAAUAUCUUCCCGCACGCUCGUCGUAUCGCCGAACCGAGCACACCGAUGCGUUCGUAGACCUACCAAUUUGGUUAAAAUGAGAUUAAAUCCAAGUUUGAACCUCAAAAUUGCAAAACCCUAAUUAUAGGUCCUCUGUAAUAUCAUCUUCUCCAAUCAAGCCCCUAGCUUGACAAAACAUGGAGGAAAAUCACCCUAAACAUCUCUAGAUGCCUUAACUAGAAGCAAAAACCCAAAACCUAACUCAAUAUCACAAGAACUCACCUUGGGAGUCCAAAACUUUCCUUCAAAGCCUUGAUCAAGCUUGCUCUUCACCUUGGAAAGCUUCUUCUCCAAGCUUGCUUCUCCAAAUCCCCUCUUGGUCCAAGCCCUAGAGAGAGAGGAAGAGAGAUGAGAAGGAUUUUAGAGAGAGAGAGGGAAAGGUUUGAGAGUAAGAGUGAGAACAAAUAGCUCUCACUCAUGCCCUAGCUCAAUAUAACCCUUCACAAGCCAUAUUUGCAUUUGUUUACCUCUCAAUUUCAUAUUUGCAACUAGCCCUUACUGGGCAUUCUCGGGCUCGGGGACCGGUCUCUCCCUUUCAGGGAUCGGUUCUCGAGAGCUACCCUGCAACCUGCGCAGAAGGGGACCGGUCUCCCCCUGAUGAAACCGGUCUCCGGGGACCGGUCUCUCGCCGAAGGACCGGUUCCCGAGAGCUCAGCUUCCAGGACUUAGCCGAUUUUUCCUUCUGCUCGAUUUACCAACGUUCGGGAACUGGUCUCUCACCCAAGGGACCGGUCCCUGAGAGUAAAAAUUCUGGAAAUUGUCCAAAAUUGCAGUUUCACUCUCUCGAGUCCCUUUAUACCACAUAUAUAGGCUCCAAUACACUUUUAGCCUAUAGUAACUCAUCAAUUUCCGCGUUCCGCUCAUUUUGACGGAACUCGGCUCAACCUACGAGGGAAGCGAUAUGUUACACCCUGGUUGGGAGAGACCGGUCCCCCCAGAACAGUAUUACGGCAGCCUUGAGGCAACUGGUCCCUGGCGGAUGAGACCGGUCCCCGAGCGCGUCCACGCGGGGAGAGACCGGUCCCAUGCGAGGAGAGACCGGUUCCCGAACGUUGGAUUUUUCAGGGCAUGCCGAGAGACCGGUCCCAGGUUGGGGAGACCAGUCCCUCAGUCCGAAAUCUGCCCAGUCCGGGCUGAUGCAAUAUUGGGAAUUUGAGGGGCCUCUUUCAAUUUUGUUACUUCAGAUGGCCUAAAUAGCCAUUCCACCCUCUCCCUUCCUCAUUUCUCUUCUCUCAACCCUCCCCACACUUUUGUUAGAGAGAGAAGAAGAAGGAGAAGUUGGAGAGCAAGAGCAUCUUCCUCUUUCCCAUUCCUCACUUUUGGAGGCUUGGAGCUUGGACUUGGAGCCUUGUGGUGGAUUAAUCUUCAACCUUUAAGCAUUUUGAGCUUGGUUUAGAUCUCCUCUUGAGGUUAGUUGCUUAGUUCCCCCCUCUAGACCUAUUUUUGCUAGAUUUUGGGAGAUGAAAACCUAGAUUUAGAUUUUAGGGUUGAUUUUGGGGCUUUUUGAUUUAGGGCUUUUGGAGCUCAAUCUCUUGGAUUAGAACCUUCCUCUAGAUUACAUUGGAAGGGUUCUAGCUUUCUUUUGAAGCUUGAGAAGAGAUUUUACUCUAUAGGUGAGAUUUUGGCCCUUUUGCUUGAUAGGUUAAUGAUUGAGCUAAUAGUUGUUCGUUUACUUCUUGUAGCUCACUUUUUGAUGCUUCUAGGGUGCUAGGAGACUUGUGGACAACUUCGUUCGAGCUUACGAAGGAUUCCGAGACGGUUCGGUGGGUUUGACCUAGCCACACAAUGAGAAAAUCUCAUUUGUGAUGAAUUGAGUAUCGUUAAAUGAAAAAGUAUGCAUAAUCAUGUUAGAUGUUAUUUAUGAAUUUUAGAAUGCUUAAAAUGCCUAUGUUACAUACAUUGUAUUUUCGGACCUCUAUGAAGUAGAGAACUUACAUAUGAGGCGUAUGUGUGCAAUAGCAUUCUUAUGAGAGACUUCGGAUCAUGUUUACAUAGUAAUAAUGACAUAUGUAAAGUGCCUAUGGACUUAGACUUCAAUUGGAUAUUGAAACUAUUAUAAUGCCAUAAAGCGACAUUGGACUAAUGUAACUUGUGAAUUAGUGAGCUAAUGUCAUAAAGGGGCAUUGAGCUCGGGUUAAAUGAGAACCUAGUAUUAAUGUCAUGAAUGGAACAUAGAAUAUGUAAUGUGCUUAAUUUAUAACAAGCUUAAGUGUUAUAAAGAGGCACUAAGCAUAAUGAGUGUUGGAACAUCACCUUGUGACAAUGAACUAGAUCAUUGGGAUACUAGUAACUUUGACCAUGUUAGAGACAUGAUGAUUGGACACUUGGGACAUUGACUACGUUUGUUUGCCAUUUGUGCUCAUUCGCACAUGCUUGUGAGGGUCGCUCCCUACAAGCCGGCACUCCGGAGUUGGCCUACGCGACCUAUAUUCGCUCGUGCAGUAUCGAGAAACCUACGGGGUCGAGAGGGAUAGACUCAUUCCUAGAGUGGAAAUGCUGGAGCUACCACCGACACUUAGGUGGCACAAGCUGGACUACACUAUGUAGGUCCUAGAACAUGAUGGAAACAAUGACAUUCAAUUGGGAGAUGACAACCACUACUAGAUAGGAUUAGUAGUUGGAAUACUAAGACAUGCUUAUAGCAUAGUGUUGGGACAUGUAGUAUACUUAAUAGUUUACUUAUUGCAUCAUAGUAUACUUGGUUGCCAUGAAAGAGCAUAAUCAUCAUAUAUUGUCAGAACAAAUCAUGUUAACUACUUGCUUGCCACGUUGAGACACAGUAGACAUGCAUGGGGUAUACCACAUCUUGAUAGAAAUACAUUGACAUCUUAUAGUUUUUGGUAUAGUAAUUUAGCAAACAAUACUUGCUCUUAUAUUUACUGUUUAUUGUCGUACUUACCCUUUUCUUUUGGGGCCUAGUAGUGCAUUGAGCUGAGGUCAGUAAUUGCCCACUGGGGACUAUAAAUUAUAAUUCUCACGCCCUCUGUUUUAUAUUUUAUUUCAGAUCCUCCCACGCCGGGAGAGGCUAGGGACCGCGUAAAGGGUAUCGCCUCAAGCUAGCUUGGCUUCGAGGAACGCGUUGAUAGGUGGUCUACCUCUCGUCGUUUUCUUUUUGGAGAGGUUGAGAACUGUACCAGUGUUAUAGAGACCACCCAUUUUGUGUACUUUUGAGAUGGUUAUUGUAUAACUUUAUGUUUCCUCUUUAUUAUUUAGUGUGUUCCAACUUCUCUUAUCAUAGACUAUAGAUAUGUACUUGCUCUGAUAUCUCUAGUUGUAGAUCAUCUCUUGCUUUAUUUCCGCUGUUGUUGUAGACGCCUUAUAUGUGUAGACAUAUGGCGGGUCUGGGUGCGCUACCGGGAGGGCCUCUGCCGGUCCCAGGACGUGACAGACCAGGUGCCGGCUCCGGGACUUGUCGACAUAGAUUGGGUGCAGCCCGCGCGGCACGACGUCCAAAUGCUCGUCGACGGCACUGUCGACGUCGAAUUUUGGCUCCUCCAACCGCUACUGCCACAUGUUGUCAUCUUCGUUGUGGGGAAUCAAGAGUCCGCAGGCGAUGAGCGAGAUGCAACGGCUGCUGCCGGAGGGGGAGUAGACUUAUAGAAGCCUCUUUUUAAAGAAGUGCUGCUCGUUGCGGACGUAGAUCGAACACCUGGUGAGCGAUGAUGAGGCCGGUGUCGAGCCGAAUGGCGGCGUAGUCGAGGGAGAUGAGCGCGGCGUCAGCGGAGUAGGCGAAGAAGGUGUAGGCGUUGACCAUGAGGUAGGAGCCGGUGUGACGGAGGAGGUCGAGCAUCGUGCGCAUUACGCGCUCCGCGAGGUCGUUCGGGAACACGGCCGCGGAGGGCGGGUAUGAGGCGCGAAGCGCGGUGAGGGCGAUGGGGGAGGAGACCUUCAUGGCACCGUCAAGGCUGAGGCGCGUGAGCACGGUGUGGACGUUGGUCAUGGCCGGGACGAGGAGCGCGAUGAGGCUGCUGUGCGGGCUCGCGAACAUCUCAUUGUCCUCAACCACGGCCGCGAUCUGGAUCGCCGGGUAGUACGCCGCCACAUUGCGCUGUACCUACCCGAGCGCGUAGCCCGGGCGCGACGCGGCCGCGGCGAGGAGCUCGUUAGGGAGCGCCACCACCACCCUGAUCCCGGGCUUGUACAAGAACGUGGAGAGGGAGAGAGAGCUUUUUUCUUCUUCUCUUUUCUUUUUUUUUUUUUUUUAGGAGAGAGAGAGCUUCGAUGCUGCAUCAAUGGAGAAAGGAAAAAAAAUAUUAUAUUACCUAUUUUUCUUCUUUCGUGAACAGGGGAAUGGGAUGGGUUUUUUCUGUUAGGGAUAGGUUUGAGAGUUGAAAAACAAAAGAGACCGUUCCAAGUGGGGUCCAAAUAGAUAUUUAUGGACUUAGGUUAUAACUACUUGGAAUUUUUCUCUUCUGUUUUUUUUUUUUUUUUUUUUUUUUUUAGAACGUGCAGAUGAUGGGGGUAGUGGGAUGUGAGAGAUGUGGAAAGUUGGGAUCAUGGAUAUGAUAUUGCAACUUAACCCUUUUAAUUUGCUUAUAUUAUACUGUAGUUAAAAUAAAGGAGUAAUAUAUAUAACAAAAUAUUUAUAUACUUGAAAUGGAGCAUCUUACAAAUAUAUGAAAGGAAAAGGAUUAAUUUGCUAUGUGUAAUAGCCAUGCAUGCCUACGAGAGCAUUCUUUCUCUUCCUUCUUUUUUGUAGUCUAUGCACCUAGUGCAUAGAUUAACCUAUGCACCAUGUUCAAAAUUUGAAUUCAAAUUUUCUCUAUGCACCUAGUGUAUAGAUCAUCUCAUAUACCAUAUUCCUAAAAGUUGGAUUCAAAUUUUCUCUCCUUCUUUCUCUUUUUUUUUUUCUUUUUUUUUUUGUGCUUUAACAGAGCAGUCAAAAUAUUGGUCCCUAUUACUGCUUUUCAAAAUUCAACCGAUCGUCGCAUAAGCUCCCCGGGGUACCACUACUAUCUACGAAGUGUCCCAAAUCACACUAUGCAUCUCUACAUUCCAUCCGUUGUACCAAAAUGCAUCAAUUUAGGUGUCGGGGCAGCCGCAUGCAAAGUGCAAACUAUGUACAAAAAAUAUGUCAUUUUAGGCUCCAAAAAUAUUGUUUUCAUUAUCAGAACCCACCAAGACCCUCCUACUGUCACCAAACACAAAAGACAAUGAAGGUCAACUAGCCAAGAAGGCUCAACAAUAUCCAAACACAGCCACAAUGUUGUUUCCAUAAGUUCCAUGCCAAAACUAGGCGAUUGUAAUAUACCGAAAUUUUGGUAAGCGAAUAUCGAACUUUAGUCAAAAUGACCAAAGUGCGAGGUUGGUACGCUUCGGAAAGGCCGAAGGCGUCAAAAGGGGCAAAAGUGCAUUGUAGGGGAUCUUCAAGAGCAUUGUGAGUGAAAUCUGCAAACUGCAGGUUUUGUGCUCUCGGGGACCGGUCCCUGAAGGAGAGACCGGUUCCCGUACGCGCAGCCAGCGAGAAGAAAGAAAAAUUGGCUAAGUCCUGAGAGUUUUGCUCUCGGGGACCGGUCCCUGCGGGGAGAGACCGGUCCCCGUGAGACCGGUCCCUCAGGGUGAGACCGGACCCGGGCUGCGUAAGCUGCAAAGAGUGCUCUUGGGGACCGGUCCCCUGCUAGAGAGACCGGUCCCCGUGCCCGAAAAGGGCCCAGUGAGGGCAAUGCACUGAGGUGAGAGUUGAGGGGCCUAAAUGCAAAUAUGCAUUUGUGGGGUUAUGUUAUGAAGGAUGAGGACUUAUUUCCUCAUUCUCUCCCACACACACACAUGUUUGAGAGCUCUCUCUCUCUCAAGGAGGUGGAUCUAGAAGGUGGAUUUGGUGGAGAAGGAGGCUAAGGAGUGGAACAAGCUUCUCCUUCUUCUUCCUAGGUGCAAAAAAAAAGGGAAGCUUAGAGGUAAGCUUCUUCCCCCUCUCAUGGUAGAGCUCAAGAAUGGAAACCAAAUGACCUAAGAAUGGUUUUGUUGGGAUUUUUAGAUGAUAAUAAGCUUGUUUUUGCUUGUGGAAGAGAUCAAUCCAAGGGUUUUGUAUAUAUAUGAAAGCUAGGGCACUCAAAUUGGGGCUUUUGCAUUGGAGGGGUUUAGAUCAAAAUUGAUCAUGUAGAAACCUAAUUGGGGGUAUUCCAGACGCGUUCGUGCGCUCAGUUUGACGUUACGAAGAGUCUAUGCGAUGUUAUGAGCGAAAAAAGCCUAAUUUAGCUUCGUUUUGCCACAGGCAAGGAAAUAGGCGGCUAAAAAUCAUGAAAUUCGAACCCGAGCACCUCAGCAAGCCUACGAGGAAGGUGGUGCUUCUCAAAAUCAUUGAACUUCUCUUUAUGUCUAAUGUGUCACUUAUUGAGCAUAUGUGUAUUAUUGAAUCAUGCAUAUUAGGGUAAUUGAGAUGAUUAUUAUGUGAGUUGUUGCAUGUUGUGAGUACAAGUGCAUUAUGAGACGGUUGAGAACCUAAGAACCCUAUGUAUGCAUGAGAUGAGAUAUGAUAACCUAGUUGAGACAAAGAACAAUGUGACACGAUGACAUUUAGAUCGAGUGGCAUUAGUAAAUGCAAAGAUGAAUACAAGAGUUAGUGUGUGUGGCAUGAGCAAUGAACUUGAAUGCCAGAGCAUUGGGACACUAGAGUUAGUGUGUGGCAUUUAAAGAACAAGAGUGGCAUUAAUGAAUAUUGAAUGCUAGAGUUAGCAUCGAAUGUGAUAUAAAGAACACUAGAGUUAGUGUAAUGGCAUGAUCGAGAACAAAGAAUGCAAGUACAUGUGAGAAUUGACAUUAUGACAUACAACCUUAUAGUUAAGGGUCAUGAAUGCAUUGUUUCCUUAUAGUUAAGGAAUGGAUUGAACUUACAUCCUUAUAGUUAAGAAUUGGAUCAUACUCGCCUUACGUCUUGGCUCGAGGGCGGUCGCUCCCCCUCGGGUGAUGAGCUUCGGAGUAGUCAUCACUGGGUAUAGUAGUCUCCCCAGAGGACGGUGCCUGUCAGGUUGUAGUAGUCUCGCUCAACAAUUGGGAUUACGAGUUGGUGAGGUGCUUUGGGCGACACCUACGGGUUAGCCAUGAGAUUGAACAAUGAGAACCAAGAACUUGCAUUCAUCAUGAAUAUUUCAUUGAGCAUGAUUAUUGAGUAUUAUUGUUUAGGCAUAGUAGCUGCAUUUGUUAUAGUUUGGUUACUAUCUACCUGCUUAUUCUUUCUAUUAUGCCUGAGUUAGACCUAGUAGGAAAGUCGGCGAGUUUAGGGGGCCGAACCCACUGGGAACUUCGUUGUAGUUCUCAGCCGGGACCGAGUGAUCCGGCCGACGACCGCGGUAAAGAUAUCGCGCCGUAGACAGAGACCACCCAAGUUGGGUUUCAUAUUUUGUAGUUGCAUACCCAUAUAUCAUCUUUUGUAUUUGAUGAUUAGAGAAGUUAAAGAAAUAAAUGUAAGUAUUCUAUUUUGAGGAAAUGUGAUGUGAAAAGAAAUGAUGAAAAGCAUGUAUUAUGAUAAAAGAAUUGUAAAUGUGAAAGUUGUAUGCUUGUAAUUGGUUAAAAGUUAAUCAUUCUACUUGUAUGGUUGUAUAGUUUAGUAUUCUUUUACUUUGGCUAUUGCUUACCCUCGUGUAAGCCAUUAUGUAUGUUUCCGCUUGUGUAUUCACUUUGUUUGAAUUGUACAUGUGUUGAGCCUUGGGCGGACAGGGGAGACUCUGUCCGUUCGGCGUCUGUUCGACGUGCCCGGACCGGCCAAAGGGAUCGGUCCUGGGGCGUGACAGCGAUAAUGACCGAUUUCGCUGACAAAAGUGUCGAAAAGCCUCAUUUCAGCUCCGAUUGAUUUCUGGAUUUAGCACGAUCCGGUCCGGGGGUCCAACAUACAUAAUUAACGCUGCCCAAGGUAGCGAGCAACUCGAAUUACCGAAAAAGCCCAUAAUUUUCAUCUAUUUUAUAGUAUUCAAUAAGAAAGUAGAGUUUUGACUCGUUGUCUAGACUUGCAUGGUCGGAAAGCUGAACCGUUACAUACACUAGUAGGCAGCGAUGCUCUGAACAUGUCACGCCCCGCGACCGCUACCAAUUUGGUCCGGCCCAGGCGCGUCGAACAGACGCCGAACGGACAGGACCUCCCCUGUCCGUCCAAGGCUAACCAACAGAUCGUGCAUAAGAAUUUACCCAAGAAUCAAUUCAUAAAUACACGAUCACUAAGCACCACUAGUGCUAUAAACAAGAGCAAGAUACAAGUAUAGAAACAUAUACAAGUACAUCAAGAGAGAAAAGACUAUCUAUUACAUUCAUUUGAUUUACUGCAUUUAGAUACAUCUUUUACAUUCUUCCAAAAUAUAAAUACAAGCAAUCAACCCUCACCCUAUACAACAUCUACUCUCAAAUACAAAAGGGGUGACGGCUAAUGCAAGAAAAGGAGGUAGCUAAUGCGACUAGAACGCCGGGCCCUUACCGCGAUCCUCACGCUCACCGGGGACACCCGAACUGGAACCUGUGGUAAAAUGGGGGUGAGAACUAACUUCCUUAGUUCCCAGUGGGUUCGGCCGCCGACUCCGCCGAUCUCCCCACUAGGUCCAAGCGGGCAUAAGUAGACAAUCGAUAGAUAGGUAGAUAGAUAAGGAAAGCUGUAAAUGGCGGAAAUGAAGCUACGCUACCAUGCCCAAUCAUAAGUAUAUGAAUGCAUGUCCAAUGAAAUAGGUAAGCAACUAAUCUGUUAUCAUGUCCAAGGGUGAAGCUAUUCACUCGUUCAUUAACCUCAUUUACUUGUUCAUUAAUCUCAUGGCUUACCCGAAGGCUCGCCUACAGCUCACUAGCCAUCUCGACACGUAGGGAGAAUCAACUCACACUACGGACCCGAGACCGUCUGGCGGGGCCAUAUAGGCAAUCCCUGGCGUGACCAACAUCCGGAGCGCACUACUUGUGUGGGGCUUCCAUCACAAGAUUUAACAGACCGUGAGCAUGAUCCAAUCCUCUAAGCUCGAGGAUACCCUGUCCUCUAGAGUCACAAUCAUCAUAUAGUCCAUAGGUGUCGCAUACACUAUUAACUAGAUUGUCCGUUUGUCCGCUAUCGACUAGAUGCCACUCGUUCAUAGUUUACUAUUAACUAGAUGCCACUCGUUCAUAGUUCAUCAUUUUCUCUACAUCAUAGGAUUCACAAUCUCGACCCAAUCCUUAUCAAUCCAAUAUAUCAAUUAUCCGAUGUACGCUACGAUACCAUGAAGGAAAAACAUAAGGAAAGGCAAUGCAUACUAAUCCUAUAAUGCAAUAAUACAAGAUGCAAGAUCAAAUAUACUAAGACAUAGGAGGGAGCCCGAUUGCUUCGGGAUGGACACCACCCACCUCUUGGCGAUGCCGUGAUAGUAGAAAACUCGACGUUGGGGUUCUUGUACGCCGCUUCAACUCCUCGGGGCGAAGCGAGCCCUCGAGUACCCGAUUCGGCGAUUUCUCCGCACCCGCUCGUCGGAUCGAGAAACCGACUUCGCCGACGCGUUCCGGGACCUAGCAAUUAGGUUUGCGACCUAUUAGAUUAGAUCAAAACCCUAGAUUUACCAAAAACCCAAUUCCGUGCCCUAGGAUGGCAACGGGGAAGAAAUCCGUGGUGCGAGCUUCAAUUGCGAGCUCGAACCUUCUCCCUAGUUCCAUUAGGUCCCAUUCAAACCAUAAAAACCCCAAAACCCUAGAAACACCAUUAAAGGGUUUAGAGCUUACCCCUACACAAGGUUCCUUCAAGCUUGAGGGAGAGGGAGAGAAGAAGAUAUCUUCUUCUUCUUCUUCUUCUUAGUCUUCUCUUUCUCUUUCUUCUUCUUUCUCUUCUUCUUCUCCUUCCUCUUCUUCUUCUCCUUCUUCUCUUUCUUUUCUUUUCUUUCUUAGAGAGAGAGAGAAAAGAGGGUAAGAGAGAGAGAGAAAGCAGCUGAGAGUGAGAGAGAGGGGUCCCCCACCUCUAAUAAAGGCCAUUUUGCAUAAAAGCCCCUCAACUUUCACCCUUGUGCACUGCCCUCACUGGGCAGUUUUCGCGCGGAGGGACCGGUCUCCCCGACUUGGGACCGGUCCCCGAAGGCUGCCAUUUCGAGCAGAGGGAUUUUCGCGUUCGGGAACCGGUCCUUGCCUGAGAGACCGGUCCCCGGGAGACCGGUCCUCGUCCGAGAGACCGGUUCCCGAGAGCUGCAUUCUCGGGACUUAGCCAAAUUUGGCUAAAUCUCGUCGGGCCAACGUUCGGGAACCGGUCCCUGCCCACCAGGGACCGGUCUCAUCAGAGACCUCCGCAACCCAGCCUGAUGGAACCGGUCCCUCCCUGCCAGGGACCGGUCCCCGAGAGCAAUUCUGCUCCAGUGCAAGUUUUGCACUUGGUGCUCUCGCGGGCCCUUCUUCAAUGCACUUUACGCAUUAUAAUCGCCUUCGGGCUUUCCGAAGCUUACGCACUCGACAACUAGUCGAUUCUAGUCGAAGUCUAACCCUCGAAUUUCGAGGAUUCACUUCCUUACAGAACAUAUUGCUCUCAUGAGGCAUUAACGACGGUGGACAACAAUGAAAAUCCAUCUUUCCAUUCUGUUGAAAAAUGGUGCAAGACCACCAUUGUUGUAACUCAACUUACAGGCUCUUAAGGUAGGAACGAAGGUGAGCAUGGCGAUGAGGAUGGCCAGAGACCACCGGGCACAUCAAACCGAGGUCGCCAAUAGCCAGGAUGGCCGGAACAGUGGCCACAGGUCUGGAGCAUUCUCAGCCUGGCAGCAAAGGAGUAGAAACAGUUUAGAAGCUUCUGCGUGGCUAGAGGCGGCCGAGGUCGGCCGGAGAGAAGGCUAGAAAGGCAGUGUCACUGUUCAAGGUUCCAGCCGAAUCUAGUCGUGGAAGUCAAUUCCUGAGAUCUGGCCAGAUCCAGGCUCAGGGAGACUCAGGGGCGGGCAACACUGGGGGAGGGUCGCUGGAGGUCACAUGGUCGGCGGCGAGACGCGGGCGUCGGCGCGGGGAAGCUGCGCUUGCAAAUUGCAAUGAGAGGGGGGGAGAGAGAAGAUAAGUGAGAAGGAGAGAGGUCUUGACUUUGAGAGAGUGAGAGAGGUCUUGAGAGAGAGGGGAGGUGAGAGAGAGAAAGACAGAGAAAUUUGGCUUGGGCUACUCACCGGCCGGGGAAGGUCGCUGGCGGGACGGCACUAUGGACUAUGGAGUGAGACUGUGAGAGAAGAAGCAGAGGCAGAAGGAGAAAAGAUUAGGAUUUUUUCCCUUUUUUUUUUUUUUUUUUUUUCCUUUUAUCUUUAGUCAUAACAAUUGCAGUGAUCCUCUCCUCGCCCAUUACAGUCCUUUCUCAGUGCUCCUCGCAUACAAGUCCUCUCCAUUCGAAAACUUUUUAUUUUUCACACAUGAAAUGAAAUGAUAAUUUUUUGCAAAUUACUUUUUUUUCUAUUUUCAAAAACUUAUAUAUUCCCUAACCUUUAUAAUCCGCAAUUUCUUUCUCAAAACUCAUCCAAAUAGAAGGUAUUACAAGUUUGGAGGGAUACAUGAAUUGACUUAAAUUUUGGACAUAAUAUAACUUCUUUUUUCUUUUUUUUUUUUUGACAGGUAGGUAGCACGCUACCCGCUUCGUUUAUUUCAUUUAGAAAUAAACUUAGCUAGAAAUGUGAACCAACUAGGAUUACCGAAAAUCUUGAAAAGAUAUCACGAACCAAAUGCAACCUCUGGGUAUAGGAAUUUAGCAAACGCUUCAAUUACAAAUGCUAAAAACAAACAAGAAAACUACACUUUUGUAGUUUAAUUAGUUUCACAUCUUCUUAUAUCCAAACAAAAGAAGUGCAUAAAAUAGAAAAUAAAGUCGCCUACUUCAAAACAAAUAUAUAGACUGGAGCUGUAGUUUCAUGAACUGCAGCCUAAAAAACUAAAGUUCAUGCAAAAUUCACACUCGUCAAUUACCAAACAGCCUCUAAUAUCACGAAUUAACUAACUUUCAGCGUUUUCAUCAUUGUGGUUUUUCAAAUAUAUCGCCAAAUUCAUCGGGUUGAUGAUGCGGAAACAAACAUAAAAACACCAUAUAUUUAUUGAACAUUGAAUGAUCAAAGACAAAAUAUUCUGGUCAGAGAGAGUAUAGAGGAGGCAUCUGCGGCUAUGAUGAGAGAAAAAGGAUGUUAUUGUAGUUAGCAAUAAUAAAGUUGACUUGAUUUAGCACCUAAAUUGAAAGUUGGUUAUCCGCAUAUAGAAACUAUUUGCUAGCACAACAAUAAAUAACAAGAUAGCCAUGUGAAGAUUUAAACCUGUUAUAUUUGGUUUAGAUUUAUAGUUAUUUAAAUUGGAGUUAAAUCCUAAUCUAAUUGAAAUUGGAUGUAAUUUAGAUUUAAUUUGCCAUAUAUGGAUUAUGAGUCGAAAUCUAAUUUCAAAUUAAAUUAGAUUAGACUUGUGUUAAGAAAUCUAAUUAGAUCAGAGUUUCAAUUAGACUCUAAUUUGAAGAUGCAUCCUAUAUAUAUGCGGCCAAGUUAAUGAAGCCGGCGCGACCAAAUUAAGGGCCAAGCAAUCCUCAAAUUAAUUUGCUCUUGGUGCUCGGCUCUUGGUACUUCAUUGGUGCUUAAUUAAUUAAGUCAUCCCAAGGUGUAUCCAGCAUUCCUGUCGUGUGGCGACCCGAGCCGAGAUGAAACCUAUUGUGCAUCUAUAUCUUCUAUAUCUAUAAUCUAUAUCUAUAAUAAUAACAUACAUGAAUUCUCAGUUUUGGAACAGGUGGCGAGCGUGGAGGCGCGGGCAGGGGUGAGCGCGGGGCGCGGGCAGGCGGGCGCGCGGGGCGGGGCGCCGCGUGGCGCGGGCACGCGGGGCGCGGUCAGGAAGCGCGAGCCGGCGCCGGGGGCGGGGGAUAACAGGUGGCGGCGAGCGGGGCGCCGGCAGGGGCGAGCGCGGCGCGGGCGCGCGGCGUGCGUGCGGGGCGCCGCGUGUGCGGGGCGAGCGGCUGCGCGGCGGCGGGCACGUGGGCGGGGCACCGCGUGGCGGGAGAGGAAGGAGAGGAGAGGAGAGCGGGCGCGGGCGUGCCGGGCGCGCGGGGCGCCGGCAGGCGGGCGCGCUCCGGCGGGCCGCCGCGUGCGCGGGGAGAGGAGAGGAGAGGAGAGGAGACGGCGGGACCCAGUUGAGGGAGAGAGACGGAAGAGAAGGGAUUUUUUUUUUUUUUAUCUCUUUUUGUCUCUUUCUACUUUUCUUUUUAAUUAUUUUUAUAUAUUUGUUCUCUAAUAUAUGAUUAAAAAAAUUUAUAAAUUUUUGUAAUUCAAUCUAAAUUUUAUUAUUUUUAUAAAAAUUUAAAAUAUAUAAAUAAUUUUUAAAUAAGUUAAAUUAUUUGUAUUAAAUAUAAAUUUUAAUUAAGCUGAAUAAAAGAAUUAUUAAAAAUAUAUAAAAAAUAAGAAAGAAAAUUUAAAAAUGAAACAUAAAAAAAGUAAAAAAAAAUAAAAAUAAAAGGAUAUGAUAGAUAAAAAAAAAAUAGAGUCAAAAUGUAAGAACAAUAAAUCAAUUUUUCUAAAAAUUAUAUAUAAUUAUAAUAAUAAUUAUAAUAUAUAUAAUUAUAAAUAUAAUUAUAUAUAAUUUCUUAUUAGUAUUUUUGUCUUUAUUUUUUUUAAUCUUUCUUAUAAUUUUAUUACAACAAUAGUUGUUUAUUUUUUAGUUAUUUUUUUAUACAAUUUUUUGACUCUUUUUUUUUACUAUUAUUUAUUUUAUUUAUAUAUUUAUUUCUGCAGAAUCGUUCCGCCGCAACGCGCGGGUCCUUCACUAGUUGCAUAUUAAGAGAGAGCCAAGACGCCGGCUAAUUAAGGCCAAUUUUUUUUGGUCCGUACGGGUCGAGAGAGAAGCCACUUUGGAGUUGCUCGUUGCGGCGUUUCCGAUCUAAUUAAACUUUGGUUCUUUUAAGAGAUCUUCUUUGUACUCCGCCUUUUCGAUAUUAAUAAAUUAUUUGCUCCGUCUUCGCCCGUGGACGUAUGCCGUUGGCCGAACCACGUAAAUAUCGGUAUGCUCUUUCCUCUUAUCUUUUCGUUUCCUGCAUCAAGUUAUUUUUCUGGGUCUAUUUUUCGCCAUUCUGAUUUUAACAAAAACACAACAACAAAUAACUGUUUAUAACUGUAUAUGUAGCAAAGAUAACUUUGUACAGUACAAGAAGACAAGGUGUCAACUGAAAAGUGAGCUCUCUUUUCCUUACUCUCUGUUGACUCCAAGACAAGAUUUAUUGCAGUCCACGUAACAUACGAAGAACAGCUACGGGUACAUAAAGGUUGCACAAUGGCACUGCAUUCUUAAACAACUGACAGGGUCGAACUGUUGAAAACAGAGAAAUUAAUGAAGCCACAGUACUAGAAGUUUUCCUUGUGGAAUUCAAACCUCGUACUUGUUUUGUGAGUGAAAUCUUGUGACAGUUGUUUAAGCUCCUCUACCAAGACUGGUUCCCCACAGUAGAAAACUCCUGAAAUUAAAUAAAUUAAUCAUCAAACCAACAAUUCCGCACAAUGAAACAAGCAUUUCAUAGUGAAAGCAUUAGAAGCAGCGAUCCUACAGAAGAGAUCAUAAUUUGAGAUAAGAGGGUGUGCUUUGGCCCGAGGAGCAGCUAGGAUUGUAAGUAGUCUAACUCUUUUACUUCAUACAGGUAAUAGGAAAUUUCACUUGAUUUACAUAUGUUUCUCUAGAAACUCGCAAAUUGUAGGAGAACUUACCAACACGCUGAUUCUCAUGAUGUACAGCAACAUGCUUGAAAACCUUUCGCCAAUUGGGCCUUGCAAAGUGGGUCUUGACGCGGGUCCCAGACACGAUGUCGACCCCCUUCUUUGCAUGAUGGAGUGCUUGGAGCAUGACAAUAAGAGCAGAGCGCGCAUCGCCUUCUUCAUACACACUCGAACAAUGAUUGUGUAAUUCGAUCACACCGUCCGUGUCCUUCUCCGCUACUUCAUUCAUCACACCUCGAAACCAAUCGAAUGAGCCCUCCUCUCGAGUCACCCAAUAGAAAUAGGCCCGUUUUGUGUUAAACGCUUUUUUCUUGGUCCUACCACUUCCGUCAGAAUCCGUGGCUCCUCCUCUGGUCUCCCCUUGCUGAAUGUGGUUAAGUACAUCUUUCACGAUGCUUAUCAAUGGGGUGGCUCCAAUCCCUAGCCCGAUGAGUAGCAGUACAUCGUAUUCUUGAUAAUCUUGGGCGGGGGCACCAUAUGGGCCAUCGAUCAAGAGUUUCGGGAAUCUUUAUUUGUAACAAAGUACAUUCUUAAUUAGUUAAGAGAUUCACGAAUCAAGUAUUAAUUACAAAUUUAGUCCCUGAAGUUAUCUAUCAUGGUUUCAAUCAAGUCUUCAGAAUUUCAGUUUUGAUUAUUCAAUCCUUGAAGUCUACACAUAAACUCAAGUCCUCCCAACGUCUGCUGGCUAAACAUGGCCACAUCAGCAUUAUCCUUAAAACACAAAUGCCAAAAACUGCCAUUUCAGCAAAAUACCACUAACGGUGCAGGUGUGGCAUUCUUUUUCAGGCAAUAGACUUGGAAGUUGGAAGGACUUGAAUUCAAGUGGGACAAACUGUAGGGACUAAAUUAAAAAAAGUGAAAAGCUGAGAACGUAAGUGAAAUAGUGAUCAAAUAUCAAGACAACAUUUGUGAGUAGCAAGUGAACUGACUACCGUCACAUGACAUGUAAGUAGAAGUGAAUUGACUGAAAGCACCUUGCGAUGUUUUCUCCUCUGGUAAUGUCAGCUCUGAGGAGCCCACUCUCUUCGAUGGAGGGAGGACGGCAUGCCUGUUUUAUUUCACGGGCAAUAAUCGGACAAAGUCCCUUAGUAAGGAUAUGGUCACACCUGCUAAGGAGAUGCAUCUAUUUAUACUGCACAUUUUGAAAUGGUAGAGUUGUUUUACCUCUGAGAACACUACUCUAAGCCGUGAGGUCCAAUCACCUCUAGUGCGAAUGUGGACACUGAUAUAAUCAUCUCCCGGAGCAGAAGUUAUGGAGAAGGGAUGCCUAAAGAGAGGGGGAGGGGGAGAAUAGGUAAAUGGUGAAGCUUCUGUUUUUUACUCUUGAAAAUAAGACAAAUGAAAAAAAUGGCUUAACAAGUAACAAAGGUAUAGUUACCACUCAAAAGGAGAGACAGCAGAACAAUUAACAAAGAUGUAUUGGCCGCUCUUGUAUCUGAAACCAUGGGGCUUGGACAUAUAAAGAGCUAACACAUUUCCGGGAUACACUGCAACCUGAUGUCAAAAAUGAAAGAAAUCAAAAGGAGUCCAAACAAAAAGGGAAAAAAAAUUGAGCACCCUUUCAUGAUCGGCAAUACAUUUUCUGCACUGAGAAACAUAACUGCAGCUUUGACUUUUGUAGAUUACCAUUCUGAAGGCAAGAGAGAUCAUAAAAGAACUUCAGGAGUAGUAACAGAAUCAUUUGGAGUUCUUUAGCCCAAAAUUAGUUUUACACUCUAAAGCCAUAGAGCUUAUGACAGGGAUUUAGAUGAGAAGAAAAAAAUCAUGACACCAAAUUUUGAGUUUGAACAGUAACAGAGAUGCACUAAUGCCAUUAAAAUAGCCACUACAACACCAUCUCAUAACAUUAGAUUGUGUUACACGCUUUACAUUAAGUCCUCGCAGAAGGUAUCCUAGUUGAAUGGUAAUGAAAACGCAAAGCUCAAAAAGAUCAUACCUUUUGAAUUCUUACAGUCUCAUGACCAGACCUUAAAGCUCGAAGAAGGCGCUCGCAUGCAUAUAAGGUGACAGGAAUGGCAAGGUACAUCCAUGUCUGACAAAAAUUGUAUUAAAUUAAAAUUAAAAGUUUGUUAAUCAAGCUUGUAAAAGAAUAAGAUUUCAAAACUUUUUUAAGUUGCAGCAACUACAAUAUACUUACUGUUUUCUUGUACCACUUCUUGGUCAAAUAGAGGAAUGUCCCAUGGAUAACGAAGAGAACAUAUACAAUAAUGAAGAGGUGGUGGGAGUACCAGAAAGCAUUGAAACCGGUUAGUCGCUUAAGGGGGUUAGAUGGACUUAGCCUGUUUCUGCGAAACCAUGGCUGAGCCAACACAUAGGAUAUUGCCAUCAGGACCACCAUGACCACCCCUGUCCAGCCUUCAGUACCCUUAACAAACCACCAAUAGUUUGGUGGCCGCCGCUCACCAAAGAACGGCUUCAGGGGUUCGUAGUCAGCAUCACUUGCAUGUAGAAGCCGGGGGAAGUCACAUGUCAGGUGAGCCAGUGCAUGUAGCCCGACUCCAACUGCAACACCUGCCGCAAGCACCUAGACAGAAAAAUCAACUUCAUAAACGUCAUCAACAUCAUUAUUAUCCAAAUCCUUUCACUUAUAAGAAUAGAUAGUACAAUAGAAUCAAAAGGUUCAUGGAAGUAGGGUGAAGCUUAGGAUAGGACAAGUUGGUUUCUAAUCAAAAUUUUAGUGCACGUUUAGCAUUAUUUAUGUUCGUUUGUUUUUCUCUAUUUCAAGCUGAAGGCACUAACAAUGGCCUAAAUUUCGCCAUUGUAAAGUGUUGACAAGCUCCAAAUCCCAUUCUGUUCAACAAUAAAGAAUGAAAAGUUAGUAGCAUCUCCCUUUUCUAUCCUUUGUUUUUGUUUAAAGGAUGAGUUUGUGCGCUAACUCUACCCAAGGCGCCUUUAACCACAUACAUUUUGAGAAAAACAUAAAAGAGUGCCAAAUGAGUCAUUAGCUAGAUAAUUCUAUUGUCCAAGACUGUAGAACCUCGUUCUUGCAAAAAUAUUUAUCACGCAAUCUCUCCUAACCUAUUUUACUGCAUGAACUCGCAAUAUUUUUCCGCGAACACAUGAUUGCUAUGCAAAACAUAAUAUCUGUACAAACAUCAAAUCAUGUGCGUAUAAAAUUGGUGGACAGCGUGCAAGGAGAAUCAGACUUAAAACGAAAAAAAAAAAAAAAAGAAACAAUUUAUGCUAAAACAAUACCGAAAAUUUCUAUAUAAAAUUACUCGGAUUAUAUCAUAACUCAUUUACCCAAAGUUUGAGAAGUUGGAUUGGUGAAAAUGCAUACCUUAUGAAAGUUUAGAUUGUCAUUGAAGGGUACAACAGCUCCAAGCUUGGUCUUAGACCUGAUCAAAGUGAUCGUGUUUCUACAUACGGGGAGAAGGAUGAUGGCCAUGUUGAACUUUAUGGUCUCAGCAGCGCCCUUUGCAGUAGCAACACAAUAACCCAUUACAUGGAAAACAUAGCGCUGCCGGUAUUGGAUGAACUUCCAAGUAAAGAGACCAGCACAAAUGGAUAGCCAUAAAAACAUCACCCAAACCCUCUUCCAAUUAUCCUCCAGAAAGUAAGAGACUUUUCGAGUAAAAUGCCGAAAGGCAUUGGUAUCUUUGGUGGGUACAAGCUUUUGGCUUAGAACCUUGCUUAAUUUAGAGCUCUGGGUUGAUAUCGAUGUCGACUCUGUCGGUGGCUGUAGCAAUAGCAUCUCCAAGUUCUCGAGCUGGUAGGAAAUUAUUUUUUGAGGUGAGUGCAAUGUAAAUAUGAUGAUAAAAUAGAGAAUGGAAUAGAAUUGGAAGAACCUCAAUGUAGCCUAAAUGGUUAGGAUCAAGCUCUUCCAUUAUCAGCGCGGUGUACUCAUCAGCACGUUCCUUAAUCUUCGACAACUUGUUUGCUGAUGCACUGAGGGUAAUGAUCUGAAAACGAACUGAUUUUGAUCAAUUAUCUGCAUAUUUAUUUGCAAGAGCUCUCUUCCUAUAAUUAAUAACCUAUUUGGCUAGGCCUCUGGAACAGCUUCUCAAUGCCCAUAAGCAGAGGUUUCCUAAAACCAGGGUUUUGGCAAACAAAAGGUCUGGAGCUUUUCCUAUGCUAGAACCUAUAAUGAGCACAGCAUAUAAGCAGAAGAUCCAAUUUGGAGGUUCUCCUGCUGCACCGUGAAGCCGUUAAGAAGUCAUUCCUACCUCUUUGAAUAGCUCUAUUCAACAACACCUCUACAAAAGCUUCAGCCAAAAGAAGAGACCCUCAGUAAUAAGAAACUACGUGCAUUCAUGCCUUCUACAGAUCCAAUACAUUUGUUGAAAUUACCCUUCAGCCGAAAAAUAUAGGUUAGCAUUCUCAUCAAUUGCGCCUUUAGGGCGUGACUAAAUAUUUUUUACAGUACUAGAGUAAGAGAUCCUGAAUUGAUUAUGGUUUUAGAACUGCAACACGUAAUCCAAAGUCCACAUCAAGGGCUUAUUCCAAAGUCUUGAUCCCAUAUACAAAAAUAGAAACAGAAAAAAUCAGCUCCUUAUGAUCUACUCAUCAUAUCAAGUGUCCUAACCCACCUCUUUGACUUCUUCUUCCGUGAGACGGCCAUCUGCAUUCUUGUCAACCCUGCAGAAACAGACAAAGACAAGUAGUAUUUUUUGUAAGGAGUACUUAAUCUGACUGUCUAAUCAUUGCAGCAUGCUUCAAUUAUAUCACAUGUCUGUAUUAACAUUGAAAAUUAACUCCACCAUUGACUUUAGUGCAUGAUUUAAGUUGCUAAUUAGGGAAAAUAUUCAUGUUAAGCCUUUUAGUUAUUCUAAAGAGUACUCACGAUAUCCAUAAAGUUUCUAAAAUUGAUUAUUUAAUAUGAUGCUGCAAUGCAAAACAGGAUGCAGUUACAUUUUUCAAGCAUUCCAUUCAUAUAUAUAACUAUACAAAAGCAUGUCACAGUUUAGAGCUAAGUUAUUAAGGAGUAUACACUUCUCACAUUUAAGUGGUCACAGAAAAGAGCAGCGAGAGAGCGGAACUGUAAGGAAGUGAAUUCUCGAAAUCCGAGAGUUGAACUUCGUUUAGAAUCGACUUGUUGUCGACCUGGUAUGUUUCGGAGAGUCCGAAUGCGAUGAAAAUGCGAAAAGUGCAUUGAGGGAGGACCUUAGAGAGUUGGAGUUGCGAAUCUGCAUUUCUGCAUGUUUUCCACUCUCGGGGUCCGGACCCUAGCUGCAGGGUCCGGACCCCGUAGCUGCGAGAAGGUUGAGAACCUCAAGUAUGCAGAUUUCGCACUUUUAUAACUCUCGGGGUCCGGACCCUAGUGGUAAGGUCCGAACCCCGUAGCUGCGAAAACCCAUUUGGGUUUGGGGAUUUCAGUUUUCGGAGUUUUCCAACUCUCGGGGUCCGGACCCUAGCUACAGGGUCCGAACCCCGUACCACGAAAAUGCCCAGUGAGGGAUGUGCAAGAGGGACAAAGUUGAGGGGCUUUUAUGCAAUUUGGCCAUAUGAGGGGUUAAGAGAGGGCUUCCACUCUCUCUUUUCUCAUUUCUCCCUCAACCCUCUCAACCCUAACAUCUCUCUCUCUCUCUAGAAAGGAAAGGAAGGAGAAGAAGAGAAGAAAGGAGAAGAAGGAAAGGAAAGAGAAGAAGAUCGAGAAGGGGAUCGUCGUCACCCUCUUCUUCUUCCUCGUGCUUGGAGCAUCUUGGAAAGGUAAGCUUCCAAGCCCUCUCAUGGUAAAUCUCUAGAGUUAAGGUUGUAGGCUUUAGAGAUGGUUCUAGUAGACUCCUUUGAUGCUAGAUAGAUGUUUAUUGCAUGAAUCGGAAAUCGAUUUGGAGUAUUUUGCAAUAGUAGCAUCUAGGGCAUCAAAAAUGGGAUUUUGCUUUAGGAUAGGGUUUGAUCUCGAUUAACCUUCUGUAAACCUAAUUGCUAGGUCUGUGAACGCGUUGGCGAAGUCGGUUUGACGAUUCGUCGAGCUGGUACAAAGAUAUUGAAGAAACGGACGUUCGAGCUUCGUUUCCGCCUGCAGGGCCGAGGCGGCGUCCAUAAAUCGUGAAAACGGAUUCCGAGCAUCGUGGCAACUAACUGAAGAUCUAUAAUUCCCGAAACUGCAAAGCCACGCACAGUUGGUGUGCAACUACGAAAUCGGGCCAAACCGGGUGCCGAGUGCCGCGGGAGGCCGAUUGCAAGUGUCGACAAGCAAUCGGAGAGCGAAUCAAGGUGGGUUGUGCUUACCGAAGCGACUAGGUCGCCCUUUAUGUCUAAGCGAGUUAAGAAUCCAUGUUGAUGCAUAUAAGUGUAAAUGAGGCAUGUAGAUGAUGCAUGUAACUAAUGCCAAAUAAUGCAUGUUGAUAUUAUGAUGCAAUAGAGAUCAUAGAAUGCAUGAUAUGUAAAUACUAGAUAACUGCAUAAAUGCAUGAUUAGCAUUGUGAGAAUAGGCAUGUGAAUGGGUCGAUAACCCUAGAGUGAAUGUAGAACUCGACAUUGGACAACUAGAGUGUCGAAUAGAUCGAGUGGCACCUAACCUAGUAUUAAAGAACAGAGGUUGAACAAGUGAACCUAGAGUCGAACAAGUCUAGAUGUGUGGCAUCGAACCUAGUGUUAGUAAACAUAGGUCGAACAAGUGAACCUAAAAGUUGACCUCUAGGUAGAGAUGAUAUAGAACCUAGCGAUUGUACCUAGGUUAUGUGAUGGAGACAUAGGACCUAGAGUGUUAAAACCUAGGUUAUGACAUGUAGUAAACCUAGAGUGGCAUUGAACCUAGGUUGUUGGGCAUAGUGGUAGCAACCACUAAGAUGUUCUAGGUCGACAGCAUAGGAUUGGUUAUGACCCUCGACCUGUAGAAGUGGAUUCCGGAAUUCCAGGAUCUGUGAUGACCUUGGUAUCAAGGCUAGGGCGUGUGCGAUGAUUUCGCCGCCGAGGUUGAUACUAAGGGAGGAUUGGGGGUGAGUGCACAGAGAUCACCGCCCGGGGCUUGAACCAUUGUCGUGGCGUGUGCGAUGAUUUCGCCGCCGGAUGGUUAAGCCGACUUGUGGAUCAGGCCGCCAGGUGACUUGAGCCAGGUUCAGUGUGUGCGACGAUUUCGCCGCUAAGAGGCUAAGUCACGGAGGGCGGUAGGCUGUUGAGCAGCCAGUGCGCGGAUUAUCCGCGAAUGAUUGACUCGAGGCCGAGUCGAGUGGAUAGCUUGGAUAGGGUAGUAGAAACCUUAUAAGCUAGUGACAGAGGCAAGCGAUAAGGUAAUAGUGACCUUAUGAGCAAGUGAAACCUGAAUUGUGAACCAAGGUAAUAGAAACCUUAAAGAUGAGUUAUAUGAGCUAAAGAUAGCAAGUUGAAUGUAGAAUCAAUAGAUCUACUGAAUGGUUGCAUAAUUGCCUAGAGCUGCAUAUUGUUCAUACUGCACAUCGUGAGGCAUGUUAUCUGUUAGUUGCAUUAUAACAUGAUGAUAUAUAUCUAUAGAUGUUUUUGGACUAAUAUGAUUGCAGUGCCUCCUUGGACCUAUUGGUCGAGCUUUUUCCUUGGGUGGCCGUACCCACUGGGAACUAUGGAGUUGGUUCUCACCCCACGUUGUUUUGGGGUGUUACAGGUUUGCACGUGAGCGGCGCGGCGGCGCGAGGCAAGGGCGUAGCUCCAUAGAUAGCGCCCUACCCCAGAGACCAGAGGUAGCAGUACCCAGAGGUGGUCGAGCUUAGAGGUUUGAAAAACAGAAAACAAACUUGUAAUAUUUGUGAUAAUCGGAUUGUAUUUUGGAAGUUCAAUGUAAACAAAUGUAUUAUGUGGAACUUGAGAAUGAAUGCUUGUAAUAACAUAGGAUGUGUUAUGUUUUUGAUACUUCAUUAUGCAAUCUGUUUGUUGAAAUGUAUUUCUGGUUGGAACUCUUGUAUUGUAUUGAUUGCGACGCCUAGGACGUACCGGAAAAACUCUGUCCGUUCGGCGGUCUGUCGGCGCGCCCGAACCUGACCAAAUAGGCGGGGCUCGGGGCGUGACAGGAACAUAGAUAACUUACUUGAGAAAACGAAAGCAAUUUUGUUAUGGUUAAAUGGUGUUGCAAAAAUAGAAACAACAAUCUUCUUGUUGAAUCAGAGAUUCAUUUACGGAAAUAGAUGUUUCAACCAAGAAACCGAAAUUUUAAGAAGCCAACAGCCUUUAAUUGCGUAUAUCAAAUAUUCUUAGCAUGAAAUUUUGUACUUUGCGAAUAGUAAAUGCAUGGCUUUAGUACUUCCUCAACAGCUACAAGAAAGGGACAAUAAUAGGUGCCAAUAUAAGUUGAACUAGUCAAAUGGCUUUUCUACAGGGAGUUAAAGCCCCACAUUUGGUAUACAAGAAGUCUGGAUUUUCUGGCUGCAGCAGGAAGAGAAAAAUUAUCUCCUAAACUACAAUAGUCUAUCUAAGGUCCCAAUUUGAGCUCCUGUACCUAGCUGCAAUAAGAAGCUCUUGAGAAGAUUUUAACGAGACAAAUUUGUCACUGCUUCUUCAGCGAGUUCUACUCAAAUUAAACAUCACUUUUGUAGAAUCUCUAAACGGACCAAAUAGGUCCAAGAUCUAGUACAUACUACAUAAUACUCCCCCUAAGAAUUCCAGGUUCGAACGAUCCCACGAGAUAAAACGCCACCUAAUUAAAUUGUGAGAAUUACAGGAUAGUGCAAAAGUAGGGAUUUCCUCUGAUCUCCCGUGCCCAAGGGUUGGACACUCUCAAUAGUAUUACAGGAGUUUCCCUACUCAGAUUACCCUACAACCCGUUUGGUUCGGGGAUAAGGGGGGAUAACCCCUUAUCUCCUCCUUUAUACCCAAACGCUAUUUUUCGUAUCUGAGAAUAGUAGUUCUCGGGUACUUGAAAUAAGCUGGUAUAACCUGGUAUAAGCCUGGAAUUGUUGUUCCACCCUUAUCCAUGGAACAACCGAGAACCAGAUUAAUUAAACUCUAAUUAAUAAUUUUAAAUCAUUAAUUAAUCUAAUUAAUAUAUUUAAAUUAUUAAUUAAUCUAAUUAAUAUUAAAUUAUUAUCUCUAGAUAACCCGCUAAGGGUGGGAACAGCUAUUCACACCCCUAUUUUUAUUUUUAAAAUUUAAAAAAUCUAAAUUUUAAAAUUUAUAAUUUUUAAUCUCAAAAUUAUAAUUUAUAAUUUUAAAUUGUAAAUUCUAUACCGUAAAUCUUAAAUCAUCUUAAAUCUUCAAUCUUAAAUCUUCAAUCUUAAAUUUUAAAUUUUUCAAAUUUAAAAUUUGAUAUUUUAUAUUUUUCAAACUUAAAUUUGAUCUCAAAUUUAAAGUUUGAAAUCUAAAAUUUUAAAUUUCAAAUUUUCAAUUUCAAAUUUUGAAAUUUAAAAGUUAAAAUUUAAAAUUUAAAAAUAUAUAUAAAAAUUAAAAAUUUAAAUUNUUUAAAAGUUAAAAUUUAAAAUUUAAAAAUAUAUAUAAAAAUUAAAAAUUUAAAUUCAAAUAUAAUAAGAGGGUAAUAUCAUUAUUUUCUAUUUAUAACUACCCACUAUUCUUUUUAUUGUAUCUUAACUAUCCAAAUCUUUUUUUUUUUAAUUUCCGGGAACAACCCAAUUUUCAUCCAAACGCAAAGUUGGUCUAAUUCUUACUUAUACCUGAGAACUUAUACCUAUCCCUAAAAUAGGCAGGUCUUACUUAUACCCGAACCAAACAAUACCCUAGUGUUCUACACCUGGUUACUGUACAAGGAUGUGUCGGCUGUACAGAAACAUAGUAUGAUAAUUUUGAUCACCAACCAGAGGUUUUCUUCAAAUUUACAGUUAUUGCCUAUGAGAACAUAGAAGCUAAAUAAUCCCAUCGUGUUACAUAAGGUAGAUAUUGUAUAAUUGCUCAUCCAGGUCAGUUCUUAUCUUUUGAGCUAUCUCACAUCCUGCCCCGCCUUUUUAGAAGGGAGUAGAACAAAGACUUUUCAUUCAUCAUUCAAUACCAUUCAUAUGCAGACUUCAUCUACGCGAGAAUGUAGGUUGGGAUCCCUUCUUAUGGGUUAGUGGAAUCUUUAUGCCCAAAAAGUCUAAAGUAUAUACUGUAGGAUACCGAACUUCUGAAAGUAAGAAGUUACGGUAGGAUAUAGUAUGUCGAAAUUUAUUAUAAAAAAAAAAUAUAUAUAUAUAUAUAUAAUAGUGUGAGAUACUAUUUUUAUGGGACUCAUAGAAGUAAAGUAUAAGUUGGAAAUGACCUAUGCUGAAAUCGGAGCGAAAACAGAAGAUUUAGAAUUUUCUAUGAGAAACGAGGCAGAUAAAUUAGCAGAAAAUGCAGUGUCAGAAAAUUAUGAAAACUGGAGGAUAUGUCAGAAUUAUUUUUAUGAGGCUAGAUUUAAAGUUUCAUGUCAUUCUGACACCCGGAAGGUGAGAAAUAAAAUCGAACUUCUAUCUGCUAAAGAUUACAGUUCGGCACAGCUUUCGGUGACCAAACGGGAUCGAAACUGAAAACUUAAGAUAUAUUCUUGCUCAGUACGUUAAACCGAGCCUGCCUGUCAAAUUUGAGCGCAAACGGACAUACAGAAGGGCUCCGACUGUUCCGAAGUGCUAAACUGCAAGUUGUAAUAGGUGUAAGAGGGGGGGGUUUUGUGCAAUUGUUACAGCACCUAUAGGUGGCUGGCUGCAUGCGUACACACACACACGCACACACCUUCUCCUCUCCCUCACACAUGCAACCAAAGAAGAAAAAGAAAAACCCUCUCAUUCUCUCUCUUGAGGGUGGAAUCAAGAGAAGGAUUUGGUGGAAAAGCAAGUUUGGAAGUUAAUCUUCAUCUCUUUCAUCUUCUUCCUCUCCAUUGGAGCUUGCUUGAGAGGUAAGCUUGGAUGCCCUUUAAUGAUAGAAUUUUAGGGCUUCAUUUAUAUGCUCUAAAAAUGGAUUUAUUAGAAUCCUAUGAUGCUAAAUAGAUGAUUGUUGCCUAAAUCAUGGAUCAAUUCAGUGAAUUCUUGCAAUAGAUGAAACCUAGGGUUCAAAAUGCAAUUUUUGGAAAUAUGGGGGUUUGAUCUCAAUUAACCCUCUGUAAACCUAAUUGCUAGAUUUCUAAACGCGUUGGCGAAGACGGUUCGUCGAUUCGUCGAGCGAGUGCGGAGUUAUCGCCGGAACAAGCGCUCGAGGGUUCGUAUUGACCCGAAGAGUUGAGGCGGCGACCAAGGAUCGCGACGUCGAGUUUUCUAACUUCACGGCACUACCAAGAGGUGGGUGGUGACCAUUCCGAAGCAACUGGACUUCCCUUUAUGUCUUAGUAUGUUAUGAUCUUGCAUCUUGCACUUAUAUGCAUUGUAGGGUAAUUAUGUACCGUCAUUCCUUAUGCUUUCCUAGCUAAUAUUAUAGUGCGAAUUGGAUGCUUGAUAUAGUGGGUUGAUAAGGAUUGGGUCGAUACUUGUGAAUCCUAUAGUGCGGAGAUAAGUGAUAGGCUCUUUGAUUGACAAAAAGAGAAUGAAUGACAUGUAGAUAACAAUGACAAAAGAACAAGUGGCAUCUAGUUAACAAUGAAUAUAAGAACGAGUGGCACAUGUGAAUCUUGACGAGUGGCAUACAAGAACGAAUGGCACAUGUGAACGAGUGGCAUAUAAGAACGAGUGGCACAGGGGAGGUGCUGUCCGUUCGGCGUCUGUUUGACUCGCCCGAACUGGACCGAAUUGGUUUCAGGGUCGGGGCGUGACAGAUAAAGUGGUAUCAGAGCCGUUAAGAGCAAGUAAAGAGAUAGUCUAGACCUAUGAGACCCUAGGUUGGUAAACCCUAAGAUUAUAGGGGCGUGAGUGAACGCGAACCCAUGACGGUGGCGGAAGUUGAUCGAUUGGGUCCGAGUUGAUGUUAUGUCUCUAGCUGUGAAUAGAGACGGAUCCAAGUGACACUAGUUUCUUGGCUCGUAGUGGUUGUGUCGGCGGCCGACGACGCGACGCUAAGAGUCCAGAACUAGAACACUUGUGUGCUUCCGCCCGAUUUCAUUGUCGAGUCAUUUAAUUUCGCGAACGUUAAGAAGUUAUCAGGUUAAGAUAACUAACCAAGUUGUUGCUUUUCAGGAGCAAAUGUUCCCAAGACGCUACGUACGUCGGUCCGUUCCGGUACCGCCUCCUGCGGUGCCCGAGCGAUCUGGAUCAGAGGUGCAGGAACUGCGCGAGCAGAUCGCUGCGAUGGUGGGCGCGAUGCAGCGCCAGGAGACUCGGUUUGAGCAGCUCCAAGGGUUCGUGGAGCGGCAGGUGGCGGCGGCAGCGGC
Molecule: long non-coding RNA, 88419 nt
Filed under: Ananas comosus (pineapple)
Lineage: Eukaryota; Viridiplantae; Streptophyta; Magnoliopsida; Poales; Bromeliaceae
Description: long non-coding RNA (ACOM_LNC032636)
Source: RNAcentral